Molecule: long non-coding RNA, 75659 nt
Filed under: Triticum aestivum (bread wheat)
Lineage: Eukaryota; Viridiplantae; Streptophyta; Magnoliopsida; Poales; Poaceae
Description: long non-coding RNA (TAES_LNC003451)
Rfam family: MIR1120/MIR1122 microRNA precursor family (bases 69239-69373)
Source: RNAcentral
UGGCCCCCGGGUCUAUUCUCAUCAUAUCAAUCUAUAUCACUUUAUUUACUUGCUUUGUUUUUACUUUGCCUUUUACUUUUUACUUUGCAUCUAUCUAUCAAAAAUACCAAAAAUAUUAUCUCUAUCAGAUCUCACUCUCGUAAGUGACAGUGAAGGGAUUGACAACCCCUAAGCGCUGGUUGCGAGUUGCUAUCGUUUUGUGUAGGUACGAGGGACUUGUGCGUGGUCUCCUACUGGAUUGAUACCUUGGUUCUCAAAAACUGAGGGAAAUACUUACGCUACUUUGCUGCAUCAUCCUCUCCUCUUCGGGGAAAUCCAACGCAGUGCUCAAGAGGUAGCAAGAAGAAUUUCUGGCGCCGUUGCCGGGGAGGCUCACGCAAGCAAGUCAACCAUACCAAGUACCCAUCGCAAUCCCUAUCUCUCUCAUUACAUUAUUUGCCAUUUGCCUCUUGUUUUCCUCUCCCCCACUUCACCCUUGCCGUUUUAUUUGCCCUCUCUUUCCCAAUCUCCUCCUCUCUUUCCCGUUUGCCUUUUCCCUUUGCCUUUUUGCUUGCUCGUGCGUUAGUUGCUUGUCUUUAUGUCCAAUUCCUUAUCCGCUCCUAUGUCUCCCGUGUUUGAAGUUCUUUACUUCAAUUAACGGCAAGGAGAAAACUUAAAAGAUGCUUGGUAUAGGAUGAUGGAAUCUUAUCGUAAGUGCACCCUAGAGGUGAACUUUAGAAUUCUUCUUUGCAAUUUUUAUGUUGGGUUAAACUUGACACAUAGACAACUCUUGGAUUGCAUUGCCAAGGGAAAUUUCAUUGAGAUCGAUCCCAGUAUUGCGCAUGAAAUUAUAGAGGGAAUAGUGGGAACACUACCCCAAAAGGGAGGAUCUCAUCCUACCUAGGAAGAAACCCAAGUGUUUGAGAAGAUUUGUGAAGUAACAAAAAAUUUGCAAAAAUCUCUUGAGCCUCUUAAAAAUGUUAGCGGAAAUCUUCAUCGCAUGAAUAUGUUGAUUACUCUUUGUAAUAAGCGGUUGGAUUCUUUAGAUCUAAAAAUUUCCUAAUAUGAAGGGAAGCGGAAAGAACCUCCCGGAUUCGAGCAUGACUCCGCCAAAAAAAUGAAAACCAAAGAUGGCAAUACCUAGAUCUAUCCUUGCUUUUAUGCCUAGCUAGGGGCGUUAAACGAUAGCGCUUGUUGGGAGGCAACCCAAUUUUAUUUUGUGUUUUUUAUUUUUGCUUCUGUUUAGGAAUAAAUAAUCCAUCUACCUUCUAUUUGGAUGUGGUUUUAUAUUUUAAUUAGUAUUUCUGCCAAGUAGAAUCUAUAGGAUAACCUACGUUGAUAGUUGAUUUGAUUCUGCUGAAAAACAGAAACUUUGCGCGAACGAAUUUAGUUAUGAUAAAUCACAAGAACGUGAUUUUGUGUUGAUUAUUUUUCCUUAUGAUCAAUAAACAAACUGUACAGUACUUCCUAUUUUGGUAGAAUUUUUAGAUUUCCAGAAGUUUGCGUUAGUUACAGAUUGCUACAGACUGUUCUGUUUUUGACAGAUUCUGUUUUUCGUGUGUUGUUUGCUUAUUUUGAUGAAUCUAUGGCUAGUAAAUUAGUUUAUAAACCAUAGAGAAGUUGUAAUAUAGUAGGUUUAACACCAAUAUAAAUAAAGAAUGAGUUCAUUACAGUACCUUGAAGUUGUCUUUUGUUUUCUUUCUCUAACGGAGCUCGCGAGAUUUCUGUUGAGUUUUGUGUUGUGAAGUUUUCAAGUUUGGGUGAAUUCUUUUGAUGGAUUAUGGAACAAGGAGUGGCAAGAGCCUAAGCUUGGGGAUGCCCAUGGCACCCCCAAGAUAAUCCAAGGACACCAAAAAGUAAAAGCUUGGGGAUGCCCCAGAAGGCAUCCCCUCUUUCGUCCACUUCCAUCGGUAAUUUACUUGGAGCUAUAUUUUUAUUCACCAACAUGAUAUGUGUUUUGCUUGGAGCGUCUUGUAUUAUUUGUGUCUUUGCUUGUUAGUCUACCACAAUCAUCCUUGAUGUACACAUCUUUUGAGAGAUCCAUACAUGAAUUGGAAUUUGUUAGAAUACUCUAUGUGCUUCACUUAUAUCUUUUGAGCUUGAUAGUUUUUGCUCAUAGUGCUUCACUUAUAUCUUUUGAGCAUGAUAAUUUUUGCUCUAGUACUUCACUUAGAUAUUUUAGAGCACGGUGGUGGAUUUGUUUUAAAGAAACUAUUGAUCUCUCAUGCUUCACUUAGAUUAUUUUGAGAGUCUUUAAUAGCAUGGUAAUUUGCUUAAUGUUAAUAUACUUGGUGUUCAAGAUAUGUGAAACUUUCUUUUGAGUGAAUUGAAUACUAAGAUAAGUUUGUUGCUUGAUAAUUGUUUUGAGAUAUGGAGGUGAUAAUAUCAAAGUCGUGCUAGUUGGGUGAUUAUGAAUUUGAGAAAUACUUGUGUUAAAGUAUGCAAGUCCCGUAGCAUGCAUGUAUGGUUAAAGUUGUGUAACAAAUUUGAAACAUGAAGUGUACCUGGCUUGUGCAUCCUUAUGAGUGGCGGUCGGGGACGAGCGAUGGUCUUUUCCUACCAAUCUAUCCCCCUAGGAGCAUGCGCAUAAUACUUGAAUUUUUGAUGACUUCUAAAUCUUUGCAAUAAGUAUAUGAGUUCUUUUAACUAAUGUUGAGUCCAUGGAUUAUACGCACUCUCCCCUUUCCACCUUUGCUAGCCUCUUCGGUACCGUGCAUUGCCCUUUCUCACCUUGAGAGUUGGUGCAAACUUCGCCGGUGCAUCCAAAUCCCGUGAUACGAUACGGACUAUCACACAUAAACCUCCUCAUAUCUUCCUCAAAACAGCCACCAUACCUACCAAUCAUGGCAUUUCCAUAGCCAUUCUGAGAUAUAUUGCCAUGCAACUUCCACCAUCAUCAUCAUGGCAUACAUUACUUUUGGCAUAUUGCCAUUGCAUGAUCAUGUAGUUGACAUCGUAUUUGUGGCAAAGCCACCAUGCAUUAUUUUCCAUACAUGUCACUCUUGAUUCAUUGCACCAACCCGGUACACCGCCGGAGGCAUUCAUAUAGAGUCAUAUCUUGUUAUAAGUUUCGAGUUGUAAUCCUUGUAUUGUAAUCAAUAGAAGUGUGAUGAUCAUCAUUAUUAGAGCAUUGCCCAAAUAAAAAAAGGAAAGGACAAAAUAAAAAAAGGCCCAAAAAGGGGCAAUGCUACUAUCUCUUUUUCCACACUUGUGCUUCAAAGUAGAACCUUGUUCUUCAUGUAGUGAGUCUCAUAUAUUGUGCUUCAAAGUAGCACCUUGUUCCUCAAGUAGUGAGUCUCAUAAGUUGUAUUUUUAUACUAGUGGGAAUUUUUCAUUAUAGAACUUGGCUUGUAUAUUCCUACGAUGGGCUUCCUCAAAAUGCCCUAGGUCUUCGUGAGCAAGCGAGUUGGAUGCACACCCACUAGUUUUCUUUUGUUGAGCAUUCAUAGCUCUAGUGCAUCCGUUGCAUGGCAAUCCCAACUCCUCAUGUUGACAUCAAUUGAUGGGCAUCUCCAUAGCCCGUUGAUUAGCCUCGUCAAUAUGAGACUUUCUCCUUUUUUGUCUUCUCCACACAAUCCCCAUCAUCAUAUUCUAUUCCACCCAUGGUGCUAUAUCCAUGGCUCAAGCUCAUGUAUUGCGUGAAGGUUGAAAAAGUUUGAGAUUAUUUAAAGUAUGAAACAAUUGCUUGGCUUGUCAUCGGGGGUAUAGAAGUUGGGAACAUCUUUUUGUGACGAAAAUGAAGCAUAGCCUAACUAUAUGAUUUUGUAGGGAUGAACUUUCUUUUGCCGUGUUAUUUUGAGAAGACAUGAUUGCUUUGAUUAGUAUGCUUGAAGUAUUAUUAUUUUUGUGUCAAUAUGAACUUUUGUCUUGAAUCUUUCGGAUCUGAAUAUUCAUAUCACAAUUAAGAAGAUUUACAUUGAAAUUAUGCCAAAGUAUCACUCCGCAUCAAAAAUUCUUUUCUUUUAUCACCGGUGGGCUUGGGUUGGUUACAAAAUAACUGGACCCACCAACCUCUUUGCCGUCCGCUAGCUGAUGGCAUAGUUUCUUUGCCGUCAGCCAGUGGACGGCAAAGAGUUGGUGUUUGCCAUCAGCCAUUUCUUUGUCGUCUGUUUCCUUGUGGCUGAUGGCAAAGACCUUCUUUGUCGUCCGCCAGCGGACGGCAAAGAGAUGGCAGACGGCAAAUAAGCUAAUUCCAGUAGAGGUGGCCUCCCGCACCGCCUCUUUGCUCUAUAAAUACCCCAAUAUUCCAGAAACCCUAGGGGAGUCGACAAAAAUCAAUUUCAGCCGCCGCAAGUUCCAGAAACACCAGAUCCAAUCUAGACACCAUCACGGAGGGAUUCAUCAUGUCCAUUGGUGCCUCUCCGAUGAUGCGUGAGUAGUUCUUUGUAGACCUACGGGUGCGUAGUUAGUAGCUGAUCUCUUGGAGAUCCGUGUGAUGUAAGUCUUUUUGCAGUGUGUUUGUUGGGAUCCGAUGAACUUUGAGUUUAUAUUAGAUCUAUGUUUUUAUCCAUGAGAGUUAUUUGAGUCUUCUUUGAUCUCUUAUAUGCAUGAUUGAUUAAAUCCUCAUAUUUCUUCUCCAAUAUUUUGGUUUUGUUCCGCCAACUUGAUCUAUUUAUCUUGCAAUGGGAAGAGGUGCUUUGUGAUGGGUUCAAUCUUAGGGUGCUUGAUCCCAGUGACAGAAUGGGAAACGACAUGUAUGUAUCGUUGCUAUUAAGGAUAACAAGAUGGGGUCUAUUUCUACAUAGAUAGAUCUUGUCUACAUCAUGUCAUCGUUCUUAUUGCAUUACUCCGUUUUUCCAUGAACUUAAUACACUAGAUGCAUGCUGGAUAGCGGUCAAUGUGUGGAGUAAUAGUAGUAGAUGCAGGAAGGAGUCAGUCUACUAAUCUUGGACGUGAUGCCUAUAUAAUGAUCAUUGCCUGGAUAUCAUCAUGAUUAUUUGAAGUUCUAUCAAUUGCCCAACAGUAAUUGUUUUCCCACCGUUUGCUAUUUUUCUCGAGAGAAGCCACUAGUUAAACCUACGGGCCCCGGGUCUCUUUUCAUCAUAUUUGCCUUUGCAAUCUAUUUUUCUUUACCUUUAUUAUCAGAUCUAUUAAACCAAAAAUACAAAAAUACCUUGCUGCACUUAUUUAUUUUGCGAUCUAUUUAUCCUAUCUAUGACAACUUUAUCAUGUCUUCUCACAAAUUUGAGGCAUCGUUACCCGAAAGGGAUUGACAACCCCUUCAACAAGCCUGGUUGCGAGUAUUUGUUAUUUGUGUGCAAGGGUUGUUUACGUUGUGUUGCUUGGUUCUCCUACUGGUUCGAUAACCAUGGUCUCAUCACUGAGGGAAAUACCUACCAUCAUUGUGCUGCAUGAUCCCUUCCUCUUUGGGGAAAUACCGACGUAGUUCAAGGAGGCAUCUUGUACGUGCAACUUGUGUGGCUGCUGCACGGGCUCCAACAUGCUCUCUGAGAAAAAAGGUUCCACAACUUUGGCUAUAGGUGACGUGGCAGCAUCAUACACUAGCGAUGGUUCGCUAUAGGUUCAACAGUUCGUACUCCUGUUAACCUUGCACUAGGAUCUUCGCCUCUUCAGAAGGUCCAACAAUGCAGUACAGUAUGCUUCUGGCAAUCUAACACGGAAUGAACUAUUGCACGUCCACCGCGAGGGAGAGGGCGAGGGAGAGGGAGAGGGCACUAUAGUCAAAACCCUCUCCUCGUCCUGUGAGCCAUCGCGCAUGCGUGGGCAAGGGAGAGGGCGUAGGCGUACGUAGUAAGCAUGAUUCUCCUCGUCCCGUGAGCCAUCGCGUGUGGGCGAGGGAGAGGGCGUAGUAAGCAAGAUUCUCCUUGUUCUGCGAGUUGACUGGACACAUCAAAGUAGUACUAGUCCAUACAGUGUCCUUUCCAGUUAAUAUGGUUUAAUUUGAAACGAGAAAAACACACUGGCUGUCAACGUAUGUAACAAUACGCUCAUUACGGUCAUCAUAUAGAUUUGUGGUGAUUAUACGGUCACUAGAUCACCGUAGAGCACCGUAUUGCACCCUGCUGACCAGCCACAUAGUUGAAUUGGCACUUUGUUGACUCAUUAAACUCACACUUGGUUUCUGGGUCCCACCUGUUAGUUGACAGAGUAAAGAAAUCAGUUAAACAAAACUUUACGCACGCGCGACAGGAGUCCAACCCUUGCGCGCGAGCCACCCUGGCUGUGUAUGUGAGUGCAUGCACGUGUACUCCCUUAGUCCAUGAAAAAUUGUACAUCUAGCAUUAUAAAAUUAUCCAACAAAGAGUGUACAUCUACACUUCCAAUGCACUUAGCCUUUAAUAUAAUCGGUAUUGCUUGACUAAUGCACCAACUCGUGCUCUAGCUAUAGGUUGCAUGCCUAUCCUUAAUUACAGCAUGCAACAACCUUCAUUUAAUCUUCUUCUCUCAAUGGUCGCAUGCACACAUAAGUCUGCUACUUUUGGGCAUUAAUUAGGCUACUUCCAAUGCAGUGGUGCUUACAUGAGGUGCUAAGCAUAUUAAAAACUUUAGCAACUAAAGCCCCCAAUGCAUAGGUUCUUAACUUGUUGAUGCUAAGCAUCCUUCAUUUAAUGAUUUUGAAACUAAAUUUCUUCAUGCAUUGGUGGGAUUCUUUCAUUUAAGUGUUUUUCUAGGUUCUCGCGCUUGGCACUAUUUCUUCCCGGGGUCAUCACGCUCCUCUCUCUCCUCUUAAUUACCUUGCCACAUCACAUUUUUUACCUGCAUCGCAGCCUUAGCACAUGUACAGGGUGGAGCAUUGGGAGGGGCCUUAUGCCAUGAAUGAAAGUGCGUUAUAUCGACUAGAGGGGGGUGAAUAGGCUAUUUUCGCAAAUUCGUCACUAAGGAAUUUCUAAGUGAAGAAAUUCCUAAGCAACGACACACUAGCAGCGGAAUAACUACUCGGGUAUAAGCAUAAUAGAGCAACAACAUAGUCAUCAUGAUGAAAUGAAAACAAGCACAGAGUACAGAUAGCAUGAAAACAGGAUAAGCAGGCUGAAGACUAUGUGACUGAAGAAUUAGGAUUGAGGGAUUAGAAAAAGUCUUCAGUCAAAGUCUUCAAACAGUAAUGAUCAGGUCCAUCAACACAUGAAUCAGGAAAUGAAAGGGUUGAGGAAAUAGAACCAGUUGGCUUCGUGAAGAUAAUGAUUUGGUAGACCAGUUCCAACUGCUGUGAUAGCUGUACAUCUGGUUGGACUGGCUGAGUAUUAAAACUCAAGGACACACAGUCUCGGACACACAAUCCUCACCAUAUUCUCCUUAAGCUAAAGUCACACAAACCUCGCCCAACACUCGUGGUAAGUCUUCAGGUGACUUCCAAACCUUCACAGACUUGGUCACUCGGCGUUCCACAAUUACUCUUGGAUGCUCAGAGCAUGACGCUUAACCAUCUGGAGGAUGCAUAGUUGAUGUAGGGCAAAACCCUAGGUGGAAGAUCUUUCACGUUUGGAGGGAUCCCACGGGAGAAACACGAAGAACACGUAGAAGCACAAAGGGGAAAUCACGGGGAGGAUGAGAGAGAAUCACGAAACCGACAGAGAAUCAAUCACACGAGUGCUAGAUCACCGAGCACAAAGAGAUACAUAUGAUCCACAAUCAACAAAGGUAAGGAUACAAAGGACAGUUCAUCUCCUAACGGAGGUAUUGAUGGUCUUCCCUCGAGAGGGGUCUUGAAUCCGCUUGGGGGAUCUUCUCCGAAGAGGUCCUGAUCUCCGAGGAGAAGUAUCCAAGUGGAUGAGCAAAGGCUCUCACACAAACAUGAGCUAAUCCAAUGCUGCCCUAGCUAGGAGGAGGAGGGGUCCUAUUUAUAGUCUUAGUGCAAAAGGGGGCAAAGUGGAGGGGUACAUGGGCUUUGGCCCGAAACUGUGCGCAGACAGCUACCGGACGUCCGCUGGGGGCCGGACGUCUGGUCGUUCAUGAGGGACCGGUCGUCCGGUGUCGCCGGGCGUCCGCUGGAAGCUCUCUGGAACGGGUGCACCGGACGUCCGGAAGUUUCCUACUUCCGCUAAUUUCCAUUCUGUUGACAGAUGCCGGUCGUCCGGUGGUUCCGGUCGUCCGCUCGCUGGAGUGCGGCCGGUCGUCCGGUCUGGGCCGGACGUCCGCUCGCUGGGGCUUGGCGGCUGGGGCUUCAGGCGCCGGACGUCCGGUCCCGACCGGUCGUCCGGUGGCUGGAGCUUUCUCCGAAUGACCUUCUUCUUGACCUUCGCGGUUGGUAGCUUCGUCUCCUUGUCCAAUGGAUGUAGAUGCACCAUGGCUUUCCUCCAGGUACCUGAUCACACACAAAGUGUCCAUAUGAGGUAGUAGCCAAGUCUCGUGAGUAGAGAGAGAAAGUUCGGAAAGGAGCGAGUUCACCUUAUCUUUGAUAGCCUUGGCUCUAGCUCUUGUCAUGGGUCCAAGUGGUGUUGAGGAAGAUGUAGACACGUCCAUGGGGAUGAGCGAGGGAUGCUCCGCAUCAUCUCCCCCCCCCCCUUGGGAAGGAUCCGACCUCGGAUCAAGAUCUUCAUCUCCAUGGUAUGGCGCAAGGUCCUUGAUGUUGAAGAUGUCGCUCACAUUGCACUUGCCUCGUGGUAGAUCUAUCUUGUAGGUGUUGUCGUUGUAGCGUGCUAGCACCUUGAAGGGUCCGUCGGCUCGAGGUAGAUGUUUGGACUUGCGUUCGUUGGGGAAGCGGUCCUUUCGAAGGUGUAUCCACACAAGAUCGCCAAUGUUGAAGAUCAUGGGUUGGUUGACGUUGAGCUUGGUCGCUAGUCGUUGUACUUGGCGCUCGAUGGUGUGCCUUGUAUCUUCAUGCAUCUUCUUGAUGUAGCUUGCCCGUGCACUCGCAUCCAUGUUGGUGCGCUCUUGUAGAGGGAGAGGUAGAAUGUCCAAUGGUGACAACGGGUUGAAGCCGUAGACGACCUCGAAGGGGGACUUGCCGGUAGUCGAAUGUCUUGCACGGUUGUAGGCGUACUUGGCGAUGGGUAGACAUGCCUCCCACUCCUUGAUGUUCCUCUUGAUCAACACGCGAAGUAGAGUGGAUAGUGUCCGGUUCGUCACCUCUGUUUGGCCGUCGGUUUGAGGAUGGUAUGCGGAUGAGAACAAGAGCUUGAUUCCGAGCUUGGCGCAUAGAGUCUUCCAAAAGUAGCUCAAGAACUUGACGUCGCGGUCGGAGACUAUUGUCUUUGGUACUCCAUGGAGACGCAAGAUUUCCCUACAAAAGAGAUUUGCAACAUGUGAAGCAUCAUCUAUCUUGUUGCAAGGAAUGAAAUGUGCCAUCUUAGAAAAUCGGUCCACAACAACAAACACGGAAUCUUUUCCAUUUUGAGUUCUAGGCAAACCAAGUACAAAAUCCAUGCUAAUGUCUUCCCAAGGUUGAUAAGGAAUAGGAAGUGGCAUGUAAAGACCAUGGGAUUGAGCUUUUGACUUAGCUUUGUGACAUGUAGAGCAUUGGGUGGUGAAGCGUGAGACGUCGCAGAACAUCUUGGGCCAAAAGUAGUUCUUGGAGAGCGUGGCAAAGGUCUUGUCGCGUCCAAAGUGUCCCAUGAGUCCACCUCCAUGAGCCUCUUGCAAAAGUAGCAAACAAAGAGAAGACUCGGGAAUGCAAAGUUUGUUAGCUCUCAUAAGAUAAUCAUCCUUUAUGUAAUAUCGUUCCCAAGACGUGUGUGUGAAACACUUAGCGUAAGGAGUAGCAAAAGAAAGACAUUCCCAUACAAGUCUUUUAUAUGCUCAAAACCAAUAACAUUCAACUCAAGUUUAGUCACAAGUGUGCAUAUACGUGAAAGUGCAUCGGCUACUACAUUUUCUUUACCCUUAAUGUACUUGAUCACAUAAGGAAAAGAUUCAAUGAAUUCACUCCAUUUGGCAUGACGCUUGUUCAAUUUAGUUUGACCUUUUAGGUACUUAAGCGUUUCAUGAUCGGUAUGGAUGACAAACUCAUGAGGUCUAAGAUAAUGUUCCGGAACAUGUAGCACAUGCACUAAAGCAUACAAUUCUUUGUCCUAGAUGGGAUAAUUAAGUUGAGCACCGGAGAGUUUUUCACUAAAAUAAGCAAUGGCUCGUUUUUCUUGCAUCAAAACUCCGCCAAUUCUGGUACCACUUGCAUCACAAUGAACCUCAAAAGUUUUAUCAAAAUUGGGCAAAGCAAGAAUCGGAGCAUGAGUAAGCAAAGACUUGAGCUCAUCAAAAGCAGUGGAUUGCUCAUAUCCCCAAACAAAAGGAGCAUUCUUCUUACUCAAAGCAUGUAAAGGAGCGGCAAUUGUGCUAAAGUUUUUGACAAAUCGGCGAUAAAAUCCUGCAAGGCCAAGGAAACUACGCACUUGUUGCAAAUUGGUUGGUUGGGGCCAAGUUUUAAUUGCCUCAAUUUUAGUUUCGUCAACAUGAACACCUUUUGAAGAGACAACAAAUCCCAAGAAAACCACUUUGUCAACACCAAACGUGCAUUUUUUCAAAUUUGCAUAAAGGCUUUCCUUGCGAAGGGUUUGCAAAACGGAUUUAACAUGAUUAAUAUGGUCUUUCAUUGUUUUGCUAAACACAAGAAUGUCAUCAAAGUAAACCACAACAAAUACUCCAAUGUAAGGUCUAAGCACAUGAUGCAUAAGACGCACAAAAGUACCGGGAGCUUCCGAUAGACCCAUAGGCAUGACUAACCACUCAUACAAGCCAAAUUUAGUUUUGAAAGCAGUUUUCCAUUCAUCACCUUCUUGAAUGCGAAUUUGAUAAUAGCCACUUUUAAGAUCAAUUUUUGAGAAAAAGUUGGCUCCACUAAGUUCAUCAAGUAUGUCAUCUAAUCGAGGAAUGGGAUGCCUAUAGCAGACAGUUAUAGCAUUUAUAGGUCUACAAUCGGAACACAAGCGGAAACUUCCAUCGGGCUUAGGCACAAGUAUGACGGGAACGGCACAAGGGCUUAAGCUUUCACGUACAUGACCGUUGUCGAUUAGUUGUUGUACUUGCUGUUGAAUCUCCUUGGUUUCUUCGGGAUUGACACGGUAUGGAGCUUUGUUUGGAAGUGGGGCUCCGGGGAUGAGGUCGAUUCGAUGCUCAAUGCCUCGUAGAGGAGGUAGACCCGGAGGUAACUCGCCGGGGAAAACAUCUUGAAAUUCCUGCAAAAGAGAUUGAAACACCAAAGGUAGUUCGUGAAUGGUGUUAGUUUUUGGUUCUCCAUCCUUGCACACAAGGACAAAGUGCAUCACACUCGAUGGGUUCUCACACACUUCUCUCAUCUCACUUUUGGUGGCAAAUAGGAUGAGGUUUUUCUUUCUAGGCGAAGAGGCGCUCAUAUUUGGCUUGUGGCUCUCACUCACUUUUGGGUGGGUAACUUUCUCAAUCUUCUUGCCAUGGUGGGUGCUUUGCUUGUCGGCUAUCACUUGACUAGGAGACAUAGGUCGUAGCACAUACUCCUUCCCUUUCAUCUUGAAGCUAUAGUGAUUGGUGCGCCCAUUGUGGAUGACACCACGGUAAAAUUGCCAUGGUCGACCAAGAAGGAGGUGGCAAACGGUCAUUGGGACCACAUCACAUUCCAAAGUGUCCUCAUAAGCACCUAUUUUGAAAGAGACUUGGACCGUAUGCUCGACUCGUAUAGUGCCGGAGUCACUUAGCCAUUGAACUUUGUAGGGGUGCGGGUGCUUCUUCUUGACCAAUUGAAGUUUUGAACAUAGUUCUUCACUUGCCAAGUUGUGGCAACUACCUCCAUCGAUGAUGACCUUGAUGGACCUUCCAUUGAUGCCGGCCUUAGUGUGGAAGAUGUGGUAUCGUUGGUCUUCUUCUUGUUGAUGUUGAAGUGUCAAGACUUUGGAGACAACGAGAGCGGGGCUCGAAUCCUCAUCACAAAAUACUUGAUCAUCUUCAUCUUCGUUCACGCGCCGGUGCAUGGCCACUUGCUCAAGGGCUUCCAUCUCCUCUUCACUCAUUGAGUCAUAUGUGCCGUCGUCGUUGAGGAUCAUGGUGUGCUUGUUCGUGCAUUCAUAGGACUUGUGGCCUCGCCGCCGCAAGUGAAACACUUGAAGGAGCUUGUUUUGACGGUCUCAUCGGUUGGAGUGGAUGAUGAAGCACGCGGCUUGAAGUUGAUUGUAGUAGGAGGGAGACGACUUGAACUUCUCCAAGCUUUCUUGUAACUUGACUUGUCAUCACUACUUGGAUAAGUCUUGGUUGAUGUAGAUGUUGGGGGAGUCGUUGAAGCUUGGAUGUUGGAGAAGCCGUAGGUUUUGGAUGAGUACUUGGCGUACUUUAAGUCAUCUUGCACUUGAUGUUCCGCCUUGGUUGCUUGAUGCACGAGCUCAAUGAGGUUGGAAUAUGGUUGGAAGUCGGCGAUCUUCUUGAUGGGAUGAUUGAGUCCGUUCAAGAAACAUGCCAUUGUUUGCUCAUCAUCUUACUUGACAUUGGCUCGAAUCAUGGCUAUCUCCAUUUCCUUGUAGUAUUCUUCAACACUCUUUGUUCCUUGCUUGAGGAGUUGUAGCUUCUUGAAGAGAUCGCGGUUGUAGUAGGUUGGUACAAAGCAUGCUCGCAUGACAUCCUUCAUUUGAGCCCAAGUGGUGAUAGGCGGUUCACCUCUUGCUUGGCGGCAUUCAAGCACUUGUUCCCACCAUAUGAGCACAUAGUCUUGGAACUCAAGUGAUGCCAUAGCGAUCUUCUUCUCUUCCUCAAAGUUGUGCAAACGAAAGAUUUUGUCGACCUUCAAUGCCCAUGAGAGGUAUUCUUCUGGAUCGUUGCUUCCAUUGAACUUGGGCAUUGUGAACUUGAGCUUGCCAUAGCGUUGCUCUUCAUUGUGUUGUUGGUGAUGGUGAUGAUGAUGUCCUUGGCGUGGAGGGUAGUCAUCCUCAUGUUGCUCUUGGCGCGGAGGAAGUCCAUGAUCAACUUGCUCUUGUUGAACUUGAGGUUGAAGAGGAGCUUGACGAGCUUGAGGAGUGGCUUGUGGAGCUUGACGUUGCACACGUGGUAGGUAGUUCCUCUCUUGGAUUUCUUCUCGAAGAGCUUCCUCUUGAUUGCGCCGUUUGCGAUUGCGGUUGGCGGUGGCUCGACUUGAUUCUUGAAGGGCACGUUGCACCUCAAGAGCUUGCACUUCACGUUGUUGUUGUUGAAGACGUUGAGCCUCGGCGUCUUGUUCUUCUUGGUGUAGACGCGCUCGUUCUUCUUCUUGGCACCGUAGUCGUUGUCGUUCUUGAGCUUGAGCAAAAGCCACUUGGUUUGAUUGAGGAUGAGGGACUUGCUCAUCGACUUGCUCUUGUGAAUGCUUGUCUUGUAGUGGGUUCCGAGAUGCAUGACGGUCUUGACGCGCGGCUCGUCGAAGAAUGGUCGAUGACGGUGUACUUGAGCCGGAGAAGGUGCCAUCAGAGUGUCAACUCGAGCGGCUCCGUCUUGAGGAGGAAGAAGUGGAAUGAUGUCGGUUCCUCAUCAAGGCGCGGAUCUCGUCCAUUCUUGCAUCAUUUUCUUGCUUGUGAGAGUCGAACUUGUGUCGAAGUAGUCUCUUGUACAUUGCUCGGAGAGUCGCAAGUCGGUGGCGAGGUUGUCGAUGUGGUCUCUCAUAGCUUGUUGCUCUUGGUGUAACGCCCUUUGAGCACCAAAGAGGUGACUCUUUGUGAUGAAUGAUGACAUGUCGUCGCCGUUCUCGAUGAGAGGUGGAUUUGUAGAAGAACUUGGCCUAUCCAUCAUACCAAGCAAAAUGUAAGUGGUAGAAGGAAAAGAACGUGUACCAAAUGUACCUUGACCGAUGUUGAAGAUGAAUCAAAUUCACUCAAAUGCGGACAAUGAAAUAGCACUGUUGGUACCAAUUCUUGUCGGUUCUCACACCUACACAAGUAAAAGCUUAUCGUGGAGCUUGGUUAGGAUGGUGGCACAAAAUUUGAUGCAAUAGUAAGGGAGCUUCAAUAAUGUUGGAGAAGAUUCACAAAUUUGCAAAUGCAACAAGUAGACCAAGCAAGUAUGGGUACACGGAAACACACACGCAAAUAGAUAAGUGGGAUUGUGCAAUCCAAAAUUGAGCCAAAAUGUGGAAACCACGAAAAUGCUCUUGUUGCACAAUUCUAGAGAGACGCUAGCACGAUUGCACAAUAGGCGGAUACGCAAACUUGUGCACAACCUACUAGGCAAAAAUGCAACUAUCUCUAUCCCAAUUAUGCUAUAUGUAUGGUAUUUCGGUGCAAUGAUCCAAGAUGAUCCAAUAUGACAAUCUUAAUGUAGUAUGAUGCUAUGGUUCUUGCUCAUAAGCUCUUUGCUUAUCUUUCCUCUUUUCUUAAAAGCUUGGGUGGCUCUUUUUCUUUUGAGCUCUUUUCUCAUGCAAAACUUCACGAACCAAGAUAGCAAUUGUGUAUGCUAUGACAACUUUGUGACACACAAGUGGAUCCCAAGAUAUGCACCACUAUGGUAUUGUAUGUAUGCUAUGGAGUAUGAUCCCUAAUGUGCACAAGUCACGUUGCCGGCAAUACUCAAUGGCUAGUCUCGAUGGGUAAGCUACGCAAAAUGAGGCAAUGUGGGUUAUCAAUGCAAAUGCAAGGUAUGACAAAGGUGUCGUCGAAGUUACCGUCCUUGGCGAUGAUGAGACCCUUGCGAAGAUGAUCCGUGGUGGUGAUGAAGUCGAACCGUACCUAGAUAGCCGAAACACAAUAGGACACGGGAGCCACAACUCAAAAUCUCAAUGUCCAAAAUGUGUCAAAAUCGUCAUAGGAGGUAUCAGGGAAGAUUUUGGUGUAUGUGGGUUUGGGAGAUGUGGUGGGAGGUGGGGUUGUGGUGGUGGCCGAACUGAAAAUUCAGUUUCCUCAGAGUUGAACGGACGUCCGGUUUUUGCGGUCGUCCGGUCAUCGGACGUCCGGUAACUGCCGGUCGUCCGGUGCCUGGGCGAUUUUCGGGCACGGGAAGAACUGCUCGGUUUCGGGGUGGAAGGGGAUGGUGAGGUCAAAAUUGAGUGGUUUGGUGGAUGGAAAAGGGUGGGGAGGGUGGGUUAAGAUAGAUCCACACGCAGCAACUCAAAUCCAUGGACCAAAUCCAACAAAAUCUCAACUCACGAACAAAUCACAAAAAAAUUUGGGGCUAUUUUUGGUGGGGAAUUUUCAGAAUUAGGACGAAAACAACAAAAUCAAGCUAGAAAACACGGGGUAGGGGCUCCAAAAACGUGAUCAACGUGGCUCAUGAUACCAAGAUGAUGUAGGGCAAAACCCUAGGUGGAAGAUCUUUCACGUUUGGAGGGAUCCCACGGGAGAAACAUGAAGAACACGCGGAAGCACAAAGGGGAAAUCACGGGGAGUACGAGAGAGAAUCACGAAACCGACAGAGAAUCAAUCACACGAGUGCUAGAUCACCGAACACAAAGAGAUACAUAUGAUCCACAAUCAACAAAGGUAAGGAUACAAAGGAUAGUUCAUCUCCUAACGGAGGUCUUGAUGGUCUUCCCUCGAGAGGGGUCUUGAAUCCGCUUGGGGGAUCUUCUUCGAAGAGGUCCUGAUCUCCGAGGAGAAGUAUCCAAGUGGAUGAGCAAAGGCUCUCACACAAACAUGAGCUAAUCCAAUGCUGCCCUAGCUAGGAGGAGGAGGGGUCCUAUUUAUAGUCUUAGUGCAAAAGGGGGCAAAGUGGAGGGGUACAUGGGCUUUGGCCCGAAACUGUGCGCAGACAAGUACCGGACGUCCGGCACGUCCGCUGGGGGCCGGACGUCCGGUCGUUCAUGACGGACCUGUCAUCCGGUGUCGCCGGACGUCCGCUGGAAGCUCUCUGGAAUGGGUGCACCAGACGUCCGGAAGUUUCCUACUUCCGCUAAUUUCCAUUCUGUUGAUAGAUGCCGGUCGUCCGGCGGUUCCGGUCGUCCGCUCGCUGGAGUGCGGCCGGUCGUCCGGUCUGGGCCGGACGUCCGCUCGCUGGGGCUUGGCGGCUGGGGCUUCAGGCGCCAGACGUCCGGUCCCAACCGGUCGUCCGGUGGCUGGAGCUUUCUCCGAUUGACCUUCUUCUUGACCUUCGCGGUUGGUAGCUUCGUCUCCUUGUGCAAUGGAUGUAGAUGCACCAUGGCUUUCCUCCAGGUACCUGAUCACACACAAAGUGUCCAUAUGAGGUAGUAGCCAAGUCUCGUGAGUAGAGAGAGGAAGUUCAGAAAGGAGCGAGUUCACCUUAUCUUCGAUAGCCUUGGCUCUAGCUCUUGUCAUGGGUCCAAGUGGUGUUGAGGAAGAUGUAGACACGUCCAUGGGGAUGAGCGAGGGAUGCUCCGCAUCAAUAGUCCUCAAAGGUAGCAAGCAUCGGUUCCACACAGGAACAAUCUCUUUAGUGAUGCUCAAUCACUUUGGGUUUGUAGGUGUUUGGAUUUGGGUUUUGGGUUUUCCUCACUUGAUGAUUUUCGCUCAAAGUCCUCGGAGGAUGGGAUGCUCUCAAUGACAAGUGUCAGUUUCUCUCGGAGCAGCCAACCAGCUAGUGGUUGUAGGGGGCGGCUAUUUAUAGCCUAGGGAACAGCCCGACAUGAUAAGACAUAAAUGCCCUUCAAUGAUAUGACUGUUAGAUGGGUAGAUAUUUUGGACGGUUGGCGCAUAGCACAGCAACGGUCAGAAAUAAAAAGGGCAGCCCGGUGCAUGUAGCUCCCGCUUGCGCAGGGUCCGGGGAAGGGUCCGACCACUUUGGGUCUAUAUUACGCAGCCUUUCCCUACAUUUUUGUAAGAGGCUGUUUCCAGGACUUGAACUCGUGACCUCUUGGUCACAAGGCAGCAGCUUUACCACUACGCCAAGGUAGCAACGAUCAGAAAUAUGAGGUUCAAAUUCCUCGAGGCUAUCAUGUUCCUCAUUGUGUAGGCAAUCUGCAUUGGCGAAUUCCUAACUUCUCAGUCAGAACAAAUUCCUCGGAGAACAGAAGAUCUUCGUCUCUGUCACUGAAGAAAUUGACUAAACUGAUAUGAGAUUUCCAAUGGCUUCACUCAAAAGGAUUGGGUAGUAGUAGGAUUUUGAGAUGAGCAUCACUUGGAAAUCAGUUUCCUUAGUAUUACCUCGACCCCCUUUAACAGUACUGUGUUUCCUAUGACUCAAGAAAGAGAAAAUGAAACUACGAACACAAAAGUCUUCACGCUUCAUAAUCCUCGCAUGAAUAUCCAAGUCUUCAAGUUCACACCAAUUUCUUCACUUCCAAAAUCUUCAGGAGAACCAAAGUCUUCAGCUGAAGACAGACAUUUUUAGGGGUCGACUUUCAUCAUAAAUAUCAAACUCCUCAUCGACUUAUAGAGCUUGUGUACACUCAGAAACAUAUUAGUCCCUUAACAUAUAAGUCUUCAAUACACCAAAAUCACUAAGGGGCACUAGAUGCACUUACACUCUCCCCCUUUUUGGUGAUUGAUGACAAAUAGGUUAAGUUUUCAAUGAGGAUAAACAUAUCAAUUGAAAGUGCUAAGUAUUGAGGAUUUUGAUUGCAAGAUAUAGAAGAACUCCCCCUGAAGAUGUGCGUAUUUGAGGAAUUUGCUUCGGAUAGAAAAUGCACAUUGUAGAGUAGUACCAUGGAGAUCUCCCCCUAUAUCUUGUAAUUCAUACACGCAUUUAACAUAUCGUAUGAAGAAUUUGAAAUGCAUGAUGAAAUAUGGUGUCUAGCAAAAUUCAGCAUGUGUGCAUUAAGUACUUGAGGAAUUAAGCAUGCAGAAAGUAGUCAAAAGUAUCAGACCACCAUAGGACUUAAGUUUACAACUCGGAGAAUCAAACACAUCAGAAGAACGAGAGUUGUAACUUAACAUAAAAACGCCCAUAUAAGAGACCCGCUUGAAGACUAACUCAAAUUUUUCCCCCUUUAUCAUCAAGUGACCAAAAGAGACAAAAAGUGAGGACUAACGCCCCUGAAGAAUAUCAUCAUGAUGUCGAUGGAGGAGCGCCAGCGUUGUUGGGGUCGUUCAUUGUUGUAGGGUCUGCCGUAGUGUUUUCCAAAUCUUUGACUUCGUCUGUCUCGCACGAUGAAGAAUAUGAGCUGACGACCAGCUGAGGAACUUUGACCUUCUUGAAUUUUUUCGAAGGUGGCUGAGACCAGUAAAAGUCCUAUUGGAAGUCCAUCUUCUUGAGUUCAUCAUCGAUAUAGAUAUGCGAAAGAAUAGCCCAGGUGCAGUCGAAGACUUGAUGCAGAUAAUGGUGAUUCUUCUUCACAGUGUUUUGAGUGACAUUCAUGUUUUGAAGAAUAGCACCAAACUAACGCUUGACCCACUUGUAAUUUCUAUCCACCUUCUGAUGAAGACUUAGAAGCAGUUCACGAUCAGUCAUCACACGCGGAGUAGUGGCCUGAGGAUUUUUCUUUGAAGCAUUUGCAGCAGUGUCAUGAGUGGUAGAGUCAUCAUUUGUUGAGUAGGAUGCUGCCUUUCGAAAUUGUCCAUCCAAAGGAUGAGUGCCUUCAUCAAUAAUUGCAGCCUUGCCCUUCUCAUCAGCUGAGGAAAUAGUCCGUUUGAGGACUUCAAGUGGUUGCAAAUAGCUGAGAUGAUUCUGAAAGUCAGCCUUGUAAUGGAUUGAAGUCCUUGAUCUGAUGAAUUUCAUGAUCCAGGGAGUGUAAGGCUUCAACUAAAAAGGUGACAAAGCAGCAUUGGCCAAAGUCCUCAUGAAGAAAUCAUGAUAGUUGAUUGGAAUACCAUGCAUGAUGUUGAAAAGCAAGUUCUUCAUGAUGCCAACAACUUCUUCUUUAGAGUUGUGGCCCUUGAUAGGACUGAGGGUUUUGACCAGAAUGCGAUAGAUGGUCGUUGGCACAUACAACAAAUCCUUGAUGAGGAAAUUUGUCCUUGGAGCUUGGCCAGCCUUCAAAGGCUUCAUCAACACUUGCAUCAGAUGAUUUUGCAAUUCGGGUUCUUCAUAUAAUUUCAGAGCACCUUCAAUGGGUGGACCGACUGGGACGGCAUGAAGCAAUUCAGAGGUUGGAGCUUUGUGAUGAGUAUUUUCAGUCAUCCAGUCCAGAACCCAUGAAUUCACAUCGUCAACAUUGCCUAUCAGAUGCAAAGUGGCAUAGAACUGAAGAAUAAGCUCUUCAUUCCAGUUGCAGAUGUCGAUGCAGAAGUUGAGGAGUCCUAUGUCAUGAAGUACACUGAGGACUGGAGUGAAACAUGGAAGAGACUCCGUAUCCACAUGAGGAAUUUGCAUAUGGUCAAACACUUUAUCCUUAUCAAGCAGUAGUUUUGAAUAAAAGUUCAUCUGAGAAGCAGUCCAGAAAUGCUUGCGGCGAAGGCGAGUAGAGUCAUAGGUAUUGAAAUCAAAGAAGAAAUGACACUCAGCAAAGAAGUCAACCGCCUUGAACUUUUACUUCUUGGACUGAGGAUUAUGUGGCUUCGGCUGAAGAUUUGUAGUGGAAGUCUUCAUAGUCGCUUGAAGCACAGCCUCUGGAGCCACAGGCUGAGGAAUCUUAGGAGCAGUUUCUUUUGCUGUUUUCUUCUCCAUUUCAUCAGCACUACUGGGUGAAACUUCUUUAGGUAUUGAAAGAAGUGAAGCUUGACCUUGAUCGGAACCCGUAUGAAUUUCUUCAGUUUGCACGGGGGACUGGGGAAUUUUUUGCACAGGAGUGGCCAAAGGAGAAUUGGGAUGAUGACUUUCCCAAUAAUCAUCAUUCAUCACUGGAGUCGUAGACCCGAUGUCCACAUCCUCUUCUUCAGCUUCAAUUUCUUUAACACCGGCCUCUUCAGCAGUGAACUGAGGCAGCGGCGAUGAUACCUGUAGUGGUGAAGGGAUAGCAUCCACAUCAAUUUCAUCAUCCAACUGCUCUGACGUAGCUGCAGAUGGAUUUUCUUCAUCACUGUCAUCAGCAUUCUUCACCAAAAGGAACAAUCUUCUUUGAUGGCAUGUCAGUUAGGGGAAUAGCAUCAAUUGGAUUCGUGUAAGAGCUCGUCAAAGUCUUCACUUUCUUCGAAGCUGAAGACCCUGAGGCGUCUGAUGCUUUCCUCUUUUUCACAGCCGCCCUUUCGGUAGUCUUGCUUUUCUUUGCUUCUGAUGCAGAAGGAAGAUGAGUGCUUUUCAUCUGCGAAGACUUUGCAGGGGGGAGCAGAUGAAAGAGGCACAGUUUCUUCAGGCACAACUAUUUUAGUUGCCCUAGCAGGUUCAGAUUCUUCAGGCGCAGCAGCAGAUUCUUUAGCUGGCCUGGGUUGAUCUUCAGGCGCAACAUUGGUGGUUGCCCUGGCAGUUUCAUCAGGAGCUGGAAGUGCAUCAUCAGCCCUGGCACUCUCAGUUUCUUCAGCAGCCUAAUUUUCAUCAGCGAUGCUGGCAUGUUCUUCAGUGGGCUGAGUAGAUGCUUCACCCUAAGGAAUUUUUGGUUGCACUUCAGCAGCAAUGUUGGGCUUGAGGCCUUUUGACAGCUUGACAAAUCUGACUUUGGCACCUAGCCAAUUAGCACGAUAUGCGUCAAGUUCAUCACUAAGAGCUUUGAUUUCAGACUAUAUAGUCACAAGUUCUUCAGGUCAUUUUUAAGACAUUUUUCUUCAGAUAAUGCUCCUUCCUGUACUGAUCUUUCUUCACUGAUCGGGCCUUCUCGAUUUUCCACUUUUCUUUGGCAAUGAAGGCAGUCAACAUGUGACUUUGUCCAGGUGUCAGGUUCAGAUCAAGUAGAGGUGUGUUGGGAUCUUUAUGCCAAAGAUCAAUGAAAUCAAGGAUCUUCUUUGGAUCCAGCAAAAGUGGCACAGCACUGCCUUUGGCACUAGCGGCCCAGUGUUGUCGGUCUCUGAUGAUUUUUUCAAGUUCUUCAUCAUCAGCUUCAUCUUCAGACGAUGGAACUUCAAAGGUGACCUACUUGUGAGGACUUGGCCUUGUGCCGCGUCCAGCGGUGACCUUUUUCUUCAGCAGCUGAGGCUGAGCUGAGGAACUUGCCGAAGCUCCUGAAGCAAUUGAAAAGCCUGUAGUCCUUUGGCACGUGCCAAGGUGCACAGGUGCUGAGGACAUUACAGGUGCAGCUGAGGGCUUUGCUUGAGCAGACGGCCCUGAGGGUUUUGAGGAGCUUGGCCAUGAGGGCAUUGCAGAAGAAGAUGGCUUCACAGCUGAUUUCUUCUUCAUAGCCUUCUUGGGCUGACUAGCAGAGGCUUCAGCGGCAGCAGCAGAGUCUUCAUUUUAUUUCUUCACUGCCUCUUUUGCUACCUUAGCCAAUUUUCUUUGGAGCUUGGCCCAUUCCUUUGGAAAUUCCUCACCUCUUCUGAUGUUAGAGGGAUCAGCUUCUUGGCCUGGAGCCAAUGGAGGCCUUCGGCAUGGAGGAUUUACUGCGAAUUUCUUCAUGUACUUAGGAGUGACAUAGCGGUAUUCCCUCCAUUCUCGUGCCCAUCUGUGUUCAAUCUGCUGAAUGCGCACCUUGCGCUGAUUUUUGUUCUCCUUGCGAUGAGUGGCCUCAUCGGGAGUACAAUAUUCAGCAUAGAUAUCUUCAGGGAUUUCAAAAGCAGUGUUAGUUUCAGGCCUUUUGCCUCCCUUAUGAGGACGCUUUUCUUCAGCCAUAUUCUUCAACUGAGGAUUCUGAACAAUGGAUGUCUCUGAAGAAGUAUGCAGUUUUUCUUCGAGGAAUGAUGCAAAUGAGUUAAGUUGAUGAGAACCUAGUGAUUCAACAGCAGACAUGUGUACCUGUGAACAGAGUAUAGGUGCGAAAAAUUUGGAGAGGUCAUAUGCGUUCUCAGAAUUUGUUUUUUAAAAAGAAUGAAGUUUGAGGAAUUUGACCAGGGGUGUCUUGAGGAAUUUUACUAAGAGUUCUUGUCUUUAGGUUCCAGAGUUGUAUAGAUUAGAAAUCCACACAACUGAGGAAUCUUGAAGAAAAACACAUCUUAGAGAAAUAGAUCAAGAACAGAAGCACAUUGGUGUUUAAGGAUAUGUACGAUGAAGAAUAAACACCUUUUGAAGAUUUUGUGUAAAACAUCAGAAUCAACAAGGGCAGUAAAAGCGACUUUUAUUUACCCUUCACGAAGAACACGAUGAACUGUGCGAUGAACUGUGGAAGUUCAUCCGUUCAGAUCUUCCACGCCCUAACUUGGCGGAGGAAAACAGCUACGAUGGCGGCGGAGGUCAAGAUUUCCACGGCCGGCGCGAGUACGACAACGACGAGGUCGAGGCAGCUAAGCUCUUCCUCACCGGCGAGGAUGAAGAUUAGCGGCGGCGCUAGGUCAGAGAGCUUGAGCGGAGGAGAUAGAGGUCGAGCGGAGUAAAUGAGCUGAGGUGAAGGGGAGGGGUAUUUAUAACCGAAGUGAAAAACCAUUCAUCCGAGGAAUUUGGAAGAACGUGCCCCUGACCCUUGCUAUCCUAGCGACAUGCGUCACCCACGUACUGAGAGGUGGAGAUCAUGUGACAUUGUGGGUGAGUAGUUUAAUCCUGUCAUGGGAUGCAAAAGGAUUUGAGCAGAAAAAGCCAAAAAAUUAGAUAUGAAAAAUUUAAUGUUUCGUUCGCAAAUUCUUCAGCUGUCAAGGACAUAGUGAAGAUUUUGAAUGGGUUUCAAAUAGAAUACACAUGAAGAGUUUGUGAACAGACUGGGUUGAGUUUAGCAUAGAGGGGGAACGGGUCAGAUCACAAUCACUUAGAUGAAAAAGCAACUUGAGGAAUUAGCUAUAAGUGAAUGUUGUAGAGGACAUGAAAGAAACUCAAAUAUAUAUAGCAAUGAAGAACAAAGUCAGAAAGAGUGAGGACAUUGCAAGUUGAAGAAAUUGCAAAAAACUCAAAUUGAAGAUUUUUCAACUUUGGUUGGUGGGCGUAACCCACCGUAUAAGAAUGAUGAUUUCAGACACCGCGUACAAUUGUCGUAGGGUUCUGAGAAUCAAAUUCUUCGUCAAUUUCUUCACACUUAGAGGGUUAGUCUUCAUUGAUUGAAGAAAAAUGUUACUUUGUGUAUUUCACAUCUAAGUCAUCAAAUUUUCAUAAGUGUUAGGAUGUGUGUCCUUUUCAGAGAACAUUCGAAGAUUCUAAGAUAUUUAGCUCACACCGCAACUUGCUAAAUCUCUUCUCAUCCAAGGGCUUUGUGAAGAUAUCUGCUAGCUGAGCUUCAGUAUUCGCAUGAUCGAUGGAGAUGUCGCCCUUCAACACAUGGUAACGAAGAAAAUGAUGAUGAAUCUGCAUGUGCUUUGUCUUCGAGUGCUAAACUGGGUUGUGAGCAAUCUUGAUAGCACUCUCAUUGUCGCGGUAGAGUGGCACAUUCUUCACAUUGAUGGCAUAGUCCUUGAGGGUUUGCUUCAUCCAUAGCAAUUGAGCACAGCAAGAUCCAGCAGCAAUGUACUCAAGGAUUCAAAUUCCUCGGGGCUAUCAUGUUCCUCACUGUGUAGGCAAUCCGCACUGGUGAAUUCCUAACUCCUCAGUUAGCAUAAAUUCCUCAGAGAACAGAAGAUCUUCGUCUCUAUCACUGAAGAAAUUGACUGAACUGACAUGAGAUUUCCAAUGGAUUCACCUGAAAGGAUUGGGUAGUAGUAAGAUUUUGAGAUGAGAAUCACUUGGAAAUCAGUUUCCUUAGUAUUACCUCGCUUCAUGAUCCUCGCAUGAAUAUCCAAGUCUUCAAGGUCACACCAAUUUCUUCACUUUCAAAAUCGUCAGGAGAACCAAAGUCUUCACCUGAAGACAUACAUUUUUAGGGGUCAACUUUCAUCAUAAAUAUCAAACUCCUCAUUGACUUAUAGAGCAUGUGUACACUCACAAACAUAUUAGUCCCUUAACCUAUAAUUCUUCAAUACCCCAAAAUCACUAAGGGGCACUAGAUGCACUUACAAUGAAAGUUAUGUUCCUCUUGGUCAAUGUGUAAAUCUCUAUAUGUACAGUCUUUCAUGGACGGAGGGAGUAGGUUGAGCACUUGAGCGUGAGCGUGUGUGUUGCGUCAUGUGAUGUGUGCCGCGUGGAUGCAUGAGUGUUGCGUGCGUGCAUGUGUGCAUGUGAGUGUUGCAUGUUGCAUGCAUGCAUGCAUGAGGCUUUUACUCCCUCCCAUUGACAUGUUCAUAUUUAAAGCUUCAUUAAAACGUUGCAUGCAAGAAUUAAGAGAAGACUCACCAAUGUGUGUAAUUGUUCUGGUGUUUUGUUCCAAUUAAUACGUUCGUAAACACAAUUUCUUGUGGAAAACAAACCCAGUAUUGAGUACUUUCAGAAAAAAUUCUUCGGCCACUCAUCAUUUACAACUACCUUGGUCGAUGAUUUUUUUAUUGACCUGUAUAUAAACAUCUGUCCUGGUUUAUUGGUCCCCUUCGUACUUAGUGUUAAAAUUUGACCGUAAAUUUAACUAAGAAUGUGUCAAUGCAUGUCAUAAAAAACUAUACCAUUAAAAACUAUGUUCAAAAUACAAAUCCUAUGAUAUGAUUUUUGGUGGCAUGCAUUAACAUUUUAUUAGUUAAAUAGAUGGUCAAAGUUUGACACAAAAUACUAGUAGUACUUCUACAUUAUUGGCACCGGGUGCCUUGUCCAAUGUUUCAUCUUGUUGGACGGGAUGAGAAUAGAGGCAUAGGGAUAAUGUAGAUAGGAAGUAUUGGCGAUCAUUAUUCCCCAUCUCGGUCAGAGAGAACUAUUCAACUAGUCUUCGUAGUGAAGUGAUAAUACACGCUGCAACAGAUGGGACACUUAAUUAAUAAACUGAACAAGCGUGUUGGUGUUACUAAAUCAGCCUUACCCUAUACUGCCGUCAUGUUUGCCAGUGGAGCACAGUUCCACAAAUAUGCCUACGCACCUCUCUCUUCCAUUAACUGACAUAUGGGCCCUCUUGAGGUUGACCCACAUGUCAUCGGCUUAACUAUUUACACUCCAAAGGACAGUAUAUCCUGGUGGUAGUACUAGUAGAGUUGAGACUUAAUGCACUUUCUUGCCCGUCUUUCCCUCUUCUUCCUCCUCUCUUCUUCUUCCUCAUCUCUUCCCCAUUGUUGGUCGCACACCAUUUCCCCCUGCUCACUGCUCGCCCGCCCAUGCCAUCUUCCUCGAUAGCUCGCUCGUACCAUAUCCCCCGCUCACUGCUCGGCCACACACGCCAUAUUCUUUGCUCGCCCACCCGAGUCCACUUCCCCGCUCGCUCGCAGGCACUGAAAACCCCAAUCACUCAGCGCCCUAGAAAACCCUAUGGAUGCAAAUGACUAACACGCAGAGUCGUGAUUGGAAUUCCCUCCUUGAUGUUCUCUUAUAGUAGAUUUGUAAUCGUAUGGACCUGCUCAGUAUCGUGCAUCUAACCGCAUGCUCGGUGUCUAUGUACCGUCUACUCGGCUGCAACCAGCCGGCCCUUUUCAAGACACCCUACUUUUUGAUGCCUGAUCCUCACAGGUGGCCCAGACACCGACUUGAUGAUCCUACGGAGGUUGACGUCGUGCCCCUCGACAUGCUACCACUACCCGCCCACCUAUCCUUCAUGCGUGGCCACUACUGGGCGGGCAUGAAGGCCAACUAGAUCGUCCUCAUCCACCAAUCUGGUAGUCCGUGGCGUCUCAUGGAUAUCUACACCCAGCGAGAGAUCACCCUUCCAUCAUUGGAUACCGCCGGCAUCGAGCCUCACAGCCCGUCGGACACUCCUGCCUACUAUGCAUGAGACGCGUCGAGCUUUUGGUACGACCUUCGUUUGUUGAAGGUUGUAAUCUGGGAAGUGCCACACCAUCAGAAGACUGCAUGGAUUACAAGUUCAUUGCCUUGUUUGACAUGGGAUUAAUCUAUCUUGAAUCUGGUCGCCAUACAUGGUUAUGGCUCAUCAUCAAUCCUGUUGACCCUCCAUUUCUGUCUGAUGCUAUAGUGCAUGAUGGCAUCGCUUACGUGGUCGACGCACAAAUUGGCUGCAUAUAGUGCUGGAAUCUAUCAUCGUGUAAUUGUUCUAUCUCACCUCAUCUUUACCUUAUGAACACGACUGCCUGUUGAUUGUUAGAAAUUUAGUAUGUAUAGUAUGUCUAUAACCACAUCAUUGCUAUAUGUUCCUCUCAUUUCCUAGAUUUUUAUGACCACACAUGUUAUUGUUAAAGUUGAUAUGAGAACAAUUGGCAUCUAAUGAUUGUUAGAAUAGAUAUUAUAAGUAUAACCUCAUGAUUGCUAUAUGUUACUCUCAUUUCCAAGAUUUUCUAUAACCACGCAUGUUAUUGUUAGAGAUGAUAUGAGAACAGUAGUAACUGCUAUGGUAGAAUAUGAGUAGGCUCUGCCAUAGCUGUUUUCCUCUCAUUUUUACAUGAGGUUUGAACCAUGACAUAUUGCUGGAAUAUGAAAGCCAUUGGCUUCUUUUUUUUAACUUGGCGUCUAAUUAUGACCAAGGCAUUGCAAUUCUCUGGCUAUGAUCUGUGUCACUAUUAUAAUAAUCUCAAUUCCACACAUACUCUGAACAUGGUUGUAUAUUUUUGUCCUUUUGGUGUCCAAUUUGAUUAGUUGCAGCAGACGCAAAUGCGCUGGCCUUCAUAAUUCUAGGACCUGGAAAUAUAAAAGUCAAUGGGUGGUGGUUUAUCGCUCACUGAACUGACAGUGGUCAUUUGAUGCUCAUUCGAACGUACCAAAUUUACCAAACCAUUUCAUCAAACCACAUGCAGUACAAUGUCUGGUGCAUUCAUGACUGUGAUGGCUAUGGCUGCUUUGUGUUCGAGAAAGAUCCCAGCUCUAUUGGGCAGGCAUAUUCAACUAGAGGCGGGUUUACAGCCUCAGCAACCACUCCAUGUUCCUUGGGCUCAAUUAUCCAAUCAUCCAACCAAUCAUCAAUCAUAUCACCGGCGAUGAUUACCGUGCUAUGCAACUUCCAUUCGCCAGGGGGAAAUGUGUUUACACAUCGUACCAUGGGUUUCUUGAAUCACCACAUCCAGAGAUUCGUCAACACAGCUUUUUGCCAGAUGGUCUUCAGUGUGUGAAAGGCAUCCAGCUUCCAAGCGAUGAAUGGCUUUUGCAAACCCGACAUGCGACGAUGUGGUUCAUGCCAACAACAAAUAUGCACAACUUGAUUCAUAGUGAUAUCUAGACUAAGCCAUGUAUCCUGCUGUUGUGCAUAACCCUCUUUUUUGGAUAAUAUGUAUUGUAGUUAGUUUGAAGGAUAUAUACCUUUCUAGGAUCAAGUGCAUCCUAACUCACCUACAUAGGAUGUACUAAUAAUGAUCAUGGAGAUGUUGUGUAGAAGCCAUAUAUAUCAAUUAGGCUUCAAGUGCGUACUUGUUGGUGAAAGUGUUGUCCAAUGGGAAUUAUAUUCUGUAUUACUCAUGUAGCCUACAAAGUCUGUCACACAACCUCGUAACUUCAUACUCCAUUUCUAAAUUUGUACUAGUACUAAUAGUCGUCUAUACCGUAUAUUGCGCUACUCGUACUACUACCUCCCUCCUAGUUCAUUGGUCCCUUUCGUAAUUUGUGUCAAAUUUUGACCAUUAAUUUAACUAAGUAAAUGAUAAUGCAUGUCAUAAAAAAUUAUACCGUUGGAUUCAUAUUUGAACACAGUUUCCAAUGGUAUAAUUUUUGGUGACAUGCAUUGACAUUUUGUUAGUUAAACCUAUGGUUAAAAUGUGACACUAAAUACGAAUAGUAAGUAGUACAGUAGUACUAGUAUACAUUGGUAAAAUUAUUCAUCAUGUACUCACAUUGAAUUGACGUGAAAACAUGUUGCACGUGAGGUGACACAAGAGUCCCGACAGUGUGUUCUGUUCACCAAAGUGAGCCUCACCCCUCUCGUACUACAACAACACUCUCGCAUUCUCUACAAAAUCACUCUCCCAUUCUCUCCCGGUCUCCCCGCCUCCCAGCCACCGCCUUGUUCCGAUCCAUUUGGUACGAUGAACGAAGAGCUACUGGAGUUGCUAUACUUCAUUGCAAGUAGUCAAAAGGAAGAUGCUAAAAAAAUCAAUCUCAACAAGGAUGCUCUUCAAGCUAGCCGGAUGAAGGAAGGAACCAGCGAGGCCACUCCUGUGAGUAUUCGUCCCAUCGCCCUGUAUGGUGAUUCGAUAUUUAUGGGGGUUUCCAAGUCUUUAGAGUCUGCAUGUAGUAAUGAAGUCCAGAUCCCAUUUAGUUCGGGUCAGAUUUGGAGUACCACUUAUCUGUCGAAAUCUUUUAUCAUUUACUUAAAACAGUUGAUUGAUCAUACAUUGAGUACCAUUUAAUUGAAACUAACCGAUGCAAGUCCAAGAAGGAUUGGCCGGUGCUGCCAGCUGCCGUCAAGUUCAAUCCCACAGAUCAGGAGUUGAUCAAGCACCUUGAGGCCAAAGUGAGAGUGCUGACAGCGCGAGAUCUCACCCCCUCAUAUAUUUGUUCAUACGAACCAUCGACAGCGAGCACGGCAUAUGCUACACCCAUCCCGAGAAACUUCCAGGUGAGACACUGAUCAGCCGUCUACUUGCACAAACAUAUUCCUGUGUUUAUAGCUCUAUUUUUGUUUUUAGACACAGACCUAGUGAAGCAAUUAAAAUUUGACAGUUAAUAAAAAGUGAAACAAGUGACUGCAACAUGCCAAAGAUGUUAUGAAAAUGCCAACUACGUACCCUAAAACAUGUAUUCACCAAUACUGCAGGUAUCACACUGAGUGGCCUAAGUAAGAUUUCUUCCAGCGCAACUCCAGGGCGUUCAAAAGGGGCACACGGACGCGUCGCAAGAUACAGUUGGAGUGCGGCAUGCAUGCGAUGUGGCACAAGACCGGCAAUACCUUGCCAGUGAUGGUCAACAGCCGGCAGAUGGGCAGCAAAAAGGUUCUGGUGUUGCACACCAACAAGAACUUUGAAAAGCAGAGGACCAACUGGGUGAUGCACGAGUACCACCUCGGGGACCUAGAGCAAGAGAAGGAGCGAGAGCUGGUCGUCUGCAAGAUUUUCUACCACACGAACACUAGGGCCAGGACUAAAAAGAUUAUAAGUUAGUUCGGUAUUGGUACUUGUACUACCUGGUCGUCUCCAAGUUGGUAUUGCUGUUAAGGAUCUUUCGGUAUGAACUUGGCGCUUGCUUCCAACCAUCAUGUCGAUGGUCAACGUGGAUAUAAAGCUGAAUGAUUUGUUUCCAAACGAAUUUUCAGGCACCUGAUUUCUAUUAGAUGGGUAGCAUAAGUAUCUGUCGUUCGAAUUCCAGUUCUCCAAAUUUUUUACAUCUUCAAAGUAUGCAUGGGAUCCAUCCAGUUUCACAAGCUGAUAGUUGGACGCAGCAUGUCGGAACUGGGUUGUGGCAUGCCAAGCCCAGCUGCAAAUUGUUAAAAGAGAGGAGCGAUAGAUUUGGGCCUUCCAGAAGAGUCAAGCGUCGCGACUUCGAUCGUGAAGCGCCUCCCAUGGACUAAAAAAGGCUUAGUUGGUUAUUAUUAGUUGAAAUAUGUAAAAUAUUCCAUAAUAAAAAGAAAUAUGUAAAAUGCAAUGAAUUUAGUCCGCUUUCACUAAAAACCAUCCGAUUUGCAUGAAAUCCGUCCGUGGAACCACAAGACGGUUGUCCAUACAGAGCCUAACCUUAUGGAACCAGCAGGUCCAUGGCCGUACGCAAGCAAGUGCAUGCACUUAUUAUCACGAUGGAAAAAUAAUGCUGACGUCUGAGACGGUGAAACCCAUGAAGUUUUCAAUGUAGUCAAUAAACGAGAGAAUUCUGCAAGUACAGACUGAUAACUGGGAUCGAGCAGGUAUAUUAUUUUUUCAGGUCGAGCAAGUAUGAAUUGGGCUGUAGACUGCCCAAGCUUGGUUUUGUUUUUAACACGCCCAGCUCAUGACGACAAUGGGGCACAAAGAUCCAGCAGGUAUCAACUAGCCUCUCGCUUGCUAGCCUUAGUUAUAUUUUCUCUUAGAACAUCCGCAUGCAGUUUUUUUACUAAAGAAAACACACAGCCAGUUCUAUUUUCCUCUUGAAACGCCAUGUCCUACUUCCGUUUUCUAAUCUCUACCUAUAGUUUUACUAGUUCAUAUACACGUAUUAUCAUAUUGAAAAUACAUAAAGUUCCCUUUUCUCUUUACAUCCUUAUUUUUUGUUGUUGUUUUCCCUCCCAGCGCUGAUAUCUUUACCACUGGUUUUCCCUAAAACCAACUCAAUUGUCCCAUGUCUUAUUAUCUUACAAAAAUAAAAAAUAUUUUAUUUGGCAAAUCAAUAAGUUCUUAAAAAAUCAACUUUUAUCAUUUCUGUAUUAAAAUAUUUCGGACUCCACCGAAAUAUGCAAAAUUAGGUUGAACUUUUUUGCCGUGGUCCUGGGCAGAAAACGGGUUGUGAUAAAUAUCAUAAGAAUUAGCAAAUGGGCUGCAAACUACUAAAAAAUAGCAAAUGGGAUCUAUGUUGGUUGCCAUAUAUUUGGAGGCUGACUAAGUUCAUGCGUACACAAGGCUUCUCAAAAAAAGAAACUUAGUCAACAAUCGACUCUACCAGCGUCAGACCGUUAGAUGUCAAUCUAACGACAAUCAUGCUUCUUCAAUCUCUGAUCUUCUUGCUCCAGCCGCCCAAACCAGCACCGGCGGAACCGCCUGCUCCCGCCUCCCGUGGCCGGUUGUGCUGCCGUGCAGGCCUCAUGGCCCCAUUUUACUCGCAACCCUGGCCUGGCUAUCCCUAUACUCACCACACCUCUUGUUAUUCUCCGGCGAUGGCAGCCUCACGCUGCAGCCAAACCAAUAAACCCUCGUACCCACUCCACAUGGGAAACAACUGCUGAGUCUUCCUCGGCUCUGAGUCGUUCCCUUACUUGGCCUCGCUGUCGUCCACCACCUUGGUGCUCUCGGCACGGUGUUGUCAACGAACGACAUCCAUCGAAAGAGGACUCUAUGUGGAGAGGCUGACAGCUGGGUACACGGCCACAUGCAAGGAAGUACCUCCUUUUUUGUGAGUAGGAAGUGCCUCCUUAUUACGCGUUAAAAUAAUGAUUCCUCCUCCUNNNNNNNNNNNNNNNNNNNNNNNNNNNNNNNNNNNNNNNNNNNNNNNNNNNNNNNNNNNNNNNNNNNNNNNNNNNNNNNNNNNNNNNNNNNNNNNNNNNNNNNNNNNNNNNNNNNNNNNNNNNNNNNNNNNNNNNNNNNNNNNNNNNNNNNNNNNNNNNNNNNNNNNNNNNNNNNNNNNNNNNNNNNNNNNNNNNNNNNNNNNNNNNNGACAGCUCGGAUCCACCAGCUACUGCGCACAAAAAAUUGGAUACCCCCGCUGCUAGGUGGGUCCCACCACAUUUGGAGGCCGACUUGUGGGCCUACUAAGUUGACGCAGAUGCAUGGCUUUGUCAACUUAGUUAAUAUAAAUUAUUCUACCUACGGUGAUCGUACGAUGUCCAUCCAAAGGUCAUUGUGCUUCUUUAACCUUUGGUCUUCUUGCUCCAGCCGCCCAAACCAGCACCGACCGUGCCGCCUGCUUCUGCCUCCCGUGGCCGGCUGUGCUGCCAUGCAGGCCUCACCGCCCCAUCCUACUACCAUCGCUGGCCUGGCCAUCCUUGUACUCACCCAGACCUCCUGUUAUUCUCCGGCAACGGUGGCCUCUAUUGGAGAUAUGCCCUAGAGGCAAUCAUGUAUGAUGAUAUUUCCUAUGUGUUUAUGAAUAAAGAUAGUCCUUGGGUGUAAUCAAUGAUGCUUGUUGGCAAGUACGUGACUUGUCUAUCAGAUCUUGUGUUGCAUGAUACGUCCUAAAUAGUCCCUAGUCGUAAGUGACGUGUGGGCAUACAUCGAACUAGACUAGCAUGCAAUACGGUGGAUGGUUUUGUCUCACUAACCAUGAGGCAUGUGAUGUUGCCGAACUGCAUGGAUCUGGUCGGAUUAGAGGUUGGAUCCAAGGUGACUGGAUCCAAGCUCGGAUGGAUAUUGGAUUGGACAGACCCAACUAUGAGAUGCAGUGAUGUGUCAUCUGUGAGUCUCUAGUACAACAUACGUUCUAUGUCCUAAGACCUGAGCUAGCGCAUGCACUCGGGAUGGUAACAGGCCUACUUUGGGCCGACCAAAUGCUACUCCGUGACUGGGUAGUUAUGAAGGUAGGUUUCGGCCUUGUCCAGACCCAUGCUGCGAGACAUGGUCGAGCAAGAUGGGGCUUGCCACUCUGAUCAGGAGAGAUAUAUUUUGGGCCCCUCUUGUGAUCCGACCUUGAUAAGCAUGGCCACGUGAUUAGUAUUAUGAGAUAAUCUGAAGUGUUGGUCGGCAUCACUGGAACGGGAAAGAGGUUGGGCUAGCACAAGGAUGACAGUCUCACCUUGAGCCCGACAAUAUAUAUCGUGUGGCAAAAGGAAUAGAAGUGGGAUGUAUAGGUUCGCCAACCGGCUUCAUUGUCUACUUGGUGGUCGGCACGCCUUGCUAGAGGCCGCUACCAGCCGAGCAGGUCGAAGGUGAUCUGACCUGCGACCAAGCCGACUUGAACCUAAGGGGUCGCACGCUUAAGGGAAGGAACCUAUGAGGUCGGGUUCGAGGACACUGGUCGGAUGUUAUCCGAGCUGGACUUGGAACGCGACCGAGUAAACUUGUGGGCUUUAGGGUCCGUGCGAAGCCCAAGUGUUGAGCCCGCGACGGAUGCCUAUAUAUAGUGGAGGUGCGGCACACUCAUUUGGUUGAUUGUUUCGGCGCUAUCACUAGGUUUUGCAUGUGUUGUGAAUAGCCACCUCCACUCGCCGCCGACUAUGUGAUCGGACCUAGCAGUCCGCCUCACGGUGUUCCUCCUGCACACGCGGAUGCCAUUAGAGGCGGUCCACCUGCGCCGCUCUGGCGAACUUGUACGUGGGAUCGUAAGACCGGUUGUUCAAGGGAGAUCGAACGAGGAGGGGAAAAUCCACGCGGAUGCGCUGUCCCAACUCUUCUUCCACUGCACGACACUGCGCGUCUCGUGGUAACGAUCUGUGAUCCAUCUCCUGUAGCAUGUUCUUGGUUGUUCUGUGCACAAGAAAAUUUUAAUUUGCAGUCGACGCACCCUACUAUAGAUCCCAACAGCCUCACACUGCAGCCGAACUAGUAAACCCUCGUACUCCCCUCUACGUAGGAAACAACUGCCUAGUCUUCCCUAGUUCCGGGCCAUUCCCUUCCUAGGCCUCAGCGUCGUCCACCGCCUUGGUGCCCUCGGUGCAGCAUGGUCAACAUGGUCAAGGAACGACUUCCAUCGGAAGAGAACUGUACGUGGAGAGGCUGACAGCUGGGUCCACGACCAUAGCAAGGAAGAGCCUCCUUAUUAUGCAUGAUUCCUCCACCUCACAGCGGGGACCCACCGGAAGGGCCUCUGUCUUUUGCGGCCACAGCAAGGGUUUUAAUUUUCUCUAGAGCGACCCCCACCCCACUGGUCCAUUUGAAGUUUUUGGUUUGUUUGUUUCAGCAACCUGUAAAGAGGUGGAUCUUUCUCCCCUAGCCGGGAAAUAAAUCGGCUAAGUGCAUCUACAUAGCCAGCUAGUUUCUGGACGUGCUUAAGUUUGGUUGGCACUUCGAGCUGAGCCAGGGCUCGGAUUUUAGUCAGAUUGGCUUCCAUUCCCUGGUGGGAGACAAUAAACCCGAGGAGUUUGUGCGCGGGUACUUCGAAAACACACUUCUUCGGGUGGAGCUUAAUUUGAUAUGCUCGGAGACUAGUGAAUGUUUCAUGAAGGUCGUCGAUCAGCUGGCCGGCAUGUUUGGUUUGAUGACCAUGUCGUCGACAUAAGCCUCCACGGUUUCCGAUUAGCUUUUCCAGGCAUGUUUGAAUCAUGCGUUGGUAUGUCACUCUAGCGUUUUAUAAUCCAAACAGCAAUGUGCUAAAGCAAAAUGGCCAAUAAGGAGUGAUGAAGGCUAUUUCAGCCUAAUCAGAUUCCUUCAUUUUGAUCUGAUGAUAACCCGAAUAGGUGUCCAGGAAGCAUAAGGAGUCGUGAUCUGCUGUGGCAUCCAUGAUCAGGUCAAUACGUGGAAGAGGAAAGGGUCCUUGGGGAAAGCAUUGUUAAGGUCUUUAAAAUCGAUGCAAAGGCCCAGGACUUGUCCUUUUUGGGUACCAUGACCAGAUUGGCCAGCCAUUUGGGGUGUUUGAUAUCUAUAAUGAAUUUGGCUUCAAGUAGAUUAGCCAAUUUUUUGCCCAUAGCUUGACGCUUGGGAUCUAAGAACCAAUGAAGUGCCUAUUUAACAGGCAUUGAACCUUUGAUGAUAUUUAGGUUGUGCUUGGCGAGGUUAUGUGGGAUUCCUGGCAUAUCUGAGGGGUGCCAGGCGAAUGUAUCCCAGUUUUCUCUAUGGAAAUUGUGUAGUGAUUCGUCAAUCCCUGGUUGUCGUGGAAUUGUCAUGGCAGAUGCCCUAGCAUGAGGACUUAGAUGUGGAGCCAUCGCACGUAGUUAGCUUAAAGGGGUUAAACGGGACAAGGGACAUAGAGAGUUUUACCCAGGUUCGGCCCCUCGCAACGAGGUGAAAGCCUACUCCUGCUUCAGGUUGUAUUGCUUGGGUUUCGAUUACCAGGGAGCGAAUACACUUGACCUAGUUCUCGACUUGUUGUUUCUUGCCCUAACCCGUCGCCGGGUCACCCCUUUAUAUACAUAGGCUAAUGCUCGGUGGCUUACAGAGUCCCGGCCGGCUCAUACACACCAUGUCUGGCUCGGUGACAGAACUAAUCUUUCCUUAACAUACAAGUUAAACAUAUGGCGGUUUAUGCCCAUGGACCUCAAGUCUCCUUCGGGUCUUGGGCCUUCAGUAAGAUUGCUUCAUGAACCACCAUCUUCAAUAUCUUAUUGGGCCUUCUCAUUAUGAACCGCCAGUGGUAUGACCCGGUGUAACGCCCCGGAUUCGAUGUGCCAGGUGUCUGCCAGUUAUUCACCGACGUUGCCAUGUCAUUUGCUUGCGUGUCGCAUUUUGCCAUGUCAUCAUCUGCAUUUCAUCUGCAUGUUUUUCAAAACUUGCAUCCGUUCGGGUUCCGCCGGUUCUCUCGGUUGUCCGUUCUGAGCCAGACACUCUCGCACGCGCCCGCGGCACCUCCAAAAUAUUAUUUUAUAAGUGGCAUAAAAAUGUUCUCGGAAUGGGUUGCAACUUGUCGUGCGGUCUUAUUAUAGUGUAGACAGGCCGCCUGCCAAGUUUCGUCGCAUUCGAAGCUCGUUUGAUAGCCCAACCGUUAAAUGUAUAACGGUACCGUUGCCGGUAUCUUCGUCGGAAGUUUCGGUAUUCGAAACAGUUGCCGGGCUGCACUUCCCUUCUCUCCCCUCAACCCAAACCUCUCCCUCACAACCCACAAGGUCCAACCUACCCCUCCUUGCGUCUGGUGCCGUCCGAUCGUGAUCGGAGGGCUCCGAAACUCCCCUAACCCUAGCCUCCUUGCUAUAUAUAGACCCCUCCUUCCAAUUUUGGGCAUUUCCUAGUCUAAACCUAGCCCCUAGCCUCCUCCCACCUCCAGCCGGCGCAUCUUCCUCGUUUUCUGCGCCGAACAGCUCCCCUGCCGCCACUUGUCGCCGCCCCACUCGCCAGCGCUACCACCCGCCGUCGCCUGCGGCCUAUCAGAGCGCGACACGUCGCCCCGGCCUUCUCCCUCCGCCACCAGCCCUCCAGGGCCCAGAUCCGGCCCGCCGCCGGGCCGAAACGGGCCCCGUCAGCCCGCGCGCCUCCCACCUGCGCCCGAGCGUUGCCCGGCCACCCGCUCGGUCGCCUCCUCCCGUCGGAGCCCCGCCUCCUCCUCGUCUCCGCCUCGCGGGACCCUGCCGGAGUCGCCACCAGCGAGCAUAGCCGCCGGAGACGCACGCCGGCGCCGGAGCCAGGCCAGUCCGCCCUCGCCUUCCUCUCUCUUCCUCUCUCUCUCCCCAUCGCUAACCGCCCCGGCAGCCUCUUCCUUCGUAGGUCGCGCCGCCGCCCGCGUAUCUCGUUGCCGGCCCCUCCUCCCGCUGGAUCCGGCCGGAAUGGAUCCGCCGCGGCCGAAUCUGCUGUCCCCGCCGCCGGAUCGGACCCCUCCACACUCCCCUCGUCGCCGGAGUAGCCCUCCACCGCCGCCGCCAUGUCCCUGCUCAGGACGAGCAGAGGAGCUGCUCGUCCCGCGUGCACCGCAACCGCAUGGGCCAGCGGCCCCUCCGCGGCCCACCAGCCCAGCCCGUAAGCCAGCUCCAGCCUCGGCCCAGCCCAGCUACAGCCGACCCGGGCUUGCAGCCCAUGGUGAGCCACCCCCUCCUAAAUCCCGCACCAUGCGGCUUUUAACUAUCCUGCGCCCGUUCUGUUUUUUUUUUUCAUAAAAACUGCUAAGUCCCGAAAUUCUAUCAUUUUUAUGCCCUACUCAUCAUGCUGUAACUUGUUGCUUACUGCUCCGUUUCGUGCGUAUAAUAUAUCAAAAUGAUCGUCAUGAGAUGAUCUACAUUUCAUUCCAUUGCAUCAUGUUCAUUUGAGUCCAUCUUGAUGCCUGAAUCAUCGUUGCAAGAGUGCUAUGUGAUGUUAAUCUGCUGAAACUGUUAUAACUUGCUCAUUUGUCAUUUUUGUUGCAUUUUGUGUGUGCAUCCUAUGAGCUUGAUGUCUACAUAUGUUUUGUUCUACAUCAUGCCAUCUUCACAGUGGUUCCAUCCAUGUAUUUUUGUGAGUUGUGUAGUGAGUGCAUCAAGCUUGUUAAGUAGGGUACUUGCUGUUGCUAUUUUGCUAUGUUGAAUCUGUUAUUUCGUGAUGCUAUGUAAACCUGCUGCUACAAGUCAUUCUAUGCAUAAUCUGGAGAUGUUCACUAAGGAUGAUUUGUUAUACAUGUAAUGCUAUAUCCAUACAUGCCCCUGGUUGCAUUUAUAGCCUGCUGUAACAUGUUGUAAUCUUGCUCCAAAAUUACUAAAUAAUGUUGCUAUCAGUCUGUUAACAUUAAGUUCAGUUUUGCCAUGUGUUUUGCUAGUGAUCCAUGCAUCCUAUGAACUUGCUCUUGCCAUGUUUAACUUCAUAAACAUGUCUUCUUUCUGUUGGUUGCCUUGCCAGGCCAUGUAUUGCUCUGUGGUGAGUGGUUCAAGCUCACCAACAUGCCUACUUAUUGUUGUUCCUGCCAUGUACGAAUCUGUCAUAUCACUUGCUAUGUUUACAUGGGUGCCAUCAUAUUUUCUGUUCCUUUUUGGCUCAUGGUCAGUAAGGGACUUUCAUUCUAUGAAAUUAGUAGAUUCAUGAAAUGCCUUUGUUUUCCAUGAUAAGUUCAUGUAACAUGUUGUUUGAUAGCUCUAAACAUUGCAACCUGAUGUUAUUUCUACAAAGUCUGAAACUGUUAUUAUUUGCAAUCUUUCCAUGUGUGUUUGAGCAUGUUCUAGUGAUUUCUGGAGAUAGCUCAGUGUUCAUAUUUUGUUAUGCUUUACAUUUACAUCAUGUUCAUGCCUUUUGUUUUCAUAUUGUGGUACUGUAGCAUGUUGUUUUGAUGCUUGCAAUAUGCCUAGUUGCUGUUUUGGACAGAUUGCUGCUAUAACUUGUAUAGAGUGCAUGUGUUGAACCGUUGCUCUGUUUUGAGUGUGCUCUAUAUGAAACUUGCUUGUUUUUGAAUCUAGUUUCAUAUUAUCAUGUUGCAUCCUUGUUUUGGUGUGUUUGCUUGAUGUUUGUAUGCAUCUUGCAUCAAUGCCAUGUUUAACUUGUUUUGCUCAUAUCUUCUAGGCCGUAGCUCCGAAUUAAAUGAACUUUAUAUGUAACUUGACUAGAAUCUCGUGUAGAUCAUCUUGGUGCAUCUUAACUUUCUGUUUAACAACUUGAACAUAAGGUUUGUUCAGAUCUGGACCAACUUCGAAAUUUACAUAUGAGGACUUACCGGAAUUGUUAUAUGUUGUUUCCGGCCUCAUUUAAACUUGCUUUGAUGUGUUGCUCUUGUAUGCAUCAUCUCUUGCCAUGAGUAGCUUCAUGUAGCCUUGUCUUGCAUCAUACUUGGUUGUGCAUCAUGUCAUGUUCAUGUGUGGUGUGUUUACCAUGUUGUGUGCUUCUUCUCAAUAGUUCCUGUUUCGUUGCGAUCGUGAGGAUUCGUUCGUCUACGCUUGGUUCGUCUUUGUGGAUUCAUCUUCUUCAUGGACUCGUUCUUCUUUCUAGAGGGAUUUCAGGCAAGAUGACCGCUACCCUGGAUCUCACUACUAUCAUUGCUAUGAUAGUUGCUUCGUUCUAUCGCUUUGCUGCGCUACCUACCAUUUGCUCUUCAAGCCUCCCAAUUUGCCAUGUCAGCCUCUAACCUUUUGCACCCUUCCUAGCAAACCAUUGCUUCGCUAUGUUACCGCUUUGCUCAGCCCCUCUCAUAGCGUUGUUAGUUGCAGGUGAAGUUGAAGAUUGCUCCAUGGUGGACAGGAUUAUGUUGGGAUAUCACAAUAUCUCUUAUUUAAUUAAUGCAUCUAUAUACUUGGUAAAGGGUGGAAGGCUCGGCCUUAUGCCUGGUGUUUUGUUCCACUCUUGCCGCCCUAGUUUCCGUCAUACCAGUGUUAUGUUCCCGGAUUUUGCAUUCCUUACGCGGUUGGGUGAUUUAUGGGACCCCCUUGACAGUUCGCUUUGAAUAAAACUCCUCCAGCAAGGCCCAACCUUGGUUUUACCAUUUGCCUCACCACCACCUACAUUUCCCUUGGGAGUAAUUAACCCGAGGGUCAUCUUUAUUAUAGCCCCCCCCCCCCCGGGGCCAAUGCUUGUCUAAGUGUUGGUCCGAACCAGAGCCACUUGCAGCGCCACCUCGAGGAAACUUGAGGGUUGGUUUUAGUUGUACGUAGUGUUCAUCCGGUGUUGCCCUGAGAACGAGAUAUGUGCAUCUCCUUUCGGGAUUGUCGGUGCAUCGGGCGGUCUUGCUGGUCUUGUUUUACCAUUGUCGAAAUGUCUUGUAAACCGGGAUUCCGAGUCUGAUCGGGUCUUCCUGGGAGAAGGUAUAUCCUUCGUUGAUCACGAGAGCUUAUCAUGGGCUAAGUUGGGACACCCCUGCAGGGUAUAAACUUUCGAAAGCCGUGCCCACGGUUAUGUGGCAGAUGGGAAUUUGUUAAUGUCCGGUUGUAGAGAACUUGACACCAUAUCCGAAUUAAAACGCAUCAACCGUGUGUGUAGCCGUGAUGGUCUCUUUUCGGCGGAGUCCGGGAAGAGAACAUGGCUUUGGGUUAUGUUUGAUGUAAGUAGGAGUUCAGGAUCAGCUCUUGAUCAUUGCUAGCUUCACGACCGUUCCGCUUGCUCUCUUCUCGCUCUUAUUUGCGUAUGUUAGCCACCAUAUAUGCUUAGUCGCUGCUGCAACCUCACCACUUUACCCCUUCCUUUCCCUUUAAGCUUUUCUAGUCUUGAUACCCAUGGUAAUGGGAUUGCUAAGUCCUCGUGGCUCACAGAUUACUACAACAACAAUUGCAGGUACAGGUUGCGAUGAUCUUGACGCGAGAGCGAUGCUUGCUUGUCUUGGAGUUCUUCUUCUACUUCUUCUUUGAUGAGGGGAUAGGUUCCAGGUCGGCAGCCUGGGCUAGCUGGGUGGAUGUCGUUUGAGUUUUUGUUUGUGUUUCAUCCGUAGUCGGAUGAUGCUCUUAUGUAAGAUGAUGUUGUAUUCGUGUGGCAUUGUAUGCCUUUUGUAUGUAUCCCCAUCUAUUAUGUAAUGUUGAUGUAAUGAUAUCCACCUUGCAAAAGCGUUUCAAUAUGCGGUUCUAUCCUUGGUGGGACCUUCGAGUCUCUUUAGGAUAGUAUCGCAUAUUGGGUGUGACACCCGGCCCCUCCUGGGCGGGUCAUACCCAAUAGUUAUAUCCCCAACAUUAGGCCCUAGGUUGAUGUGAACUUGUUCAUAUCAAUCGUCAACACUUUAGAAAAAAUCCUUCCUCGUCAGUCCUUAAGAAAUCUUAUAACCCGCCAUGACGUUAGCUCACGGAAUCGUGGUAACCCGCCAUGACAUCAUCUCACAUUAAUAUCACACAAGGCCCAAAUCUCAAUAUGCCUUCACUUCUAAUGAAUCUCUGAAAAUCGAGGCAUAUUUGUUGUCACAAUCUUUUUUGGCCUCCUCGAUUCCCGUGCAUACCACUUAUCCUUCUGCCUUAUAAAUAGGGCCAGGGGUCCCUUUCAUUCUCCCCCCUUGCCUCCUCGUCUUCGUCCUCUUCCUUCCAACGCCUCAAGCGCCGAGCUCCACCGCCGCCGUCGACCUUUGUCCACUGCCUCAACCUCGGGCGCUGCAUCAACCUGAACGCACCAGAGUUCCUCCGCGCGCCUCCGCUGUCCAACAGCACCGGUAAGCUUUUCUCCUUCCCUAACCGUAGAUCCCUUUAGGGUUUACUUGAGUUCUUCGGAGUUCAUCUCCGUUCAUCUCUGUCUCCCCUUAGAUCCUGUAGUUUUUUAAUCCAAACACCACACCAACCUUGUGGUGUAGCAUUUUAGCACUUGUUUUUGAUAUUUGAAUGCCUCCUUUCCGUAAGAAAUCUUAUCUGCGCACAUGAACUGUUCCACUGCCACCACUUAGGUCUAGAAUUUUUCUCCUUUAUAUGAAGUGCUCUAGAUCUGAAAUUAUAGCACCAAUCUGUGAAAGUUGUUUGUCCAACACUUAGUAACUUUUCACUCAUAGAUCUGAAAAUUGAUAGUUGUGCUGGCGGCUUAACUUAUAAACCAUAACCUGACAGGUACCAUUAGUCCCCUCUUAAGCCGCCAAUAGACUGUUAUGCAUGUCUCAACACUAACCUUGAGCUUAACAUACUGCAUGUUUAUUUACCUUUGAACCAAUGACUGGUUUAACCAAUAUAAUAUUAAACCAGCAAAAAUUUCCUUUCAGAUCAUCAUCAACAAUGACUAAGACAUUCACUGCAUGCAACUGGGUAUCCUCCUGAGUCACCGAGGAAGAUUUGAACAAUUUUGUUGAAACUGGUGUCUUAGCCAAGAAAGACGACAUCCACUGGAGGGUCCCACACACCGAAAAUCCUCCUGAACCCAAGGAAGGAGAAGUAAUUGUUUUUAUUGAUCAUAUGAUCCGGGGGUUUACCCCGCCCGGCUCAAAAUUCCUUCGAGACAUGCUACAAUUCUUCCAAAUUCAUCCUCAAGACAUUGGGACCAAUUAUGUCUCCAACAUUUGCUACUUCCAAGUCUUUUGUGAAGCUCAUCUUCAAGAGGAACCCACUGUCGAAUUGUUUAGGGAAUUUUAUUACUUGAACCGGCAAACGGAGUUCACCGACGGGCCCAGCUUGGAACUAGGUGGAGUUUCAAUUCAGAAACGGAAAGAGGCCACCUUCCCAUAUGCUAAGCCGCCCAGUCAUCUCAAGGACUGGAACCAGGCUUGGUUCUAUUGCCAAGAUACAUCUCCAGAGGGUGAGAAUCCCCUGCUGGGUUAUCGUGAACACCGGCUCAGCAACACAUAUCAGCUCCCAUAGCGGAUCAGCACGAAGGAACGGGCCAAGUAUGCACCCACUUUUUCAAAGAUGAGAGCCUUCAUGGCUAAUGGCUUAACCGGCAUCGACCUUGUUUGGUGCUGGGUCUCCUGGAGGAUCCUUCCCUUAAGCCGCCGCCCCAGCUUAAUGUGCGAGUACACCGGCAACUUGAAAGAUCCCCAAUGUCACUGGAAAAUUCAAUUAUCUGAUGUAGAAGUCAAUGAAGCAAACAAGGCUUUGUUGAACGAAAGUUGGGCAGAAUGCAGUAAAACCGGACUUGGUCCUAUCUGCACCUUCAACCAGCCGCCAGCUGUAAGUGUUGCACACCAUGUUUCCAGUUUGAAUCAUGUUUUCAUUAACACUGCCCACUUAUGAUCCUCUGACCUCCACAGGCUGAUUCUCCCUUUUGGAAGAAGAAGCUGCAAGAUAAGCCGGCCAAGCAGACCCGGACCAAGACCAAGGUUACCAAAAAACUUGCCAAGAAGAAGAACGACCCCUCCGAGUUACUGAACUUGGAUGACGAUGGUGAUGAUAACGAGUCGGAGGUAGAACUUGAUUCCCUUGGCUCAUUUUGUACAUAUCAUUGACAAUGACUAUUAUCAGGAUGAAGCGGAAGCCAGCCGUGCGGGUGAUGAAGAGGUAAUUAUUCUUUCCUCUCGCUCAGAAUCUCUGCCAAAACAGAAAACUUGCCAAGCAAGAGGGAAAGUAAGGUUUUCUCAUCCUUUGGAUUAUUUGGAUCCCAACUUUAUUUUGAAGAAGCAGCAACAUGAAGCUCGCCGCACAACUCAGAACAGUGGAGGCGGAGUCCUUUCCUCCGGCUUAUCGAACACUCCAGCUCCCCGCAAGCGUCGUCCAGAGGUCUCAACAAUUUCGGACUUAACUUGUCCCAAGGCCGGUCUUUUUCGACAACCUCUUAAUCCCUCCGAUUCAAAUUAUCAAGGAACAUCUCAUUCCUCCUCUGGCGACUCAACAGGGACUCAUGUUCCAGUAUUCAAGAAUGUGCCUGGGUAAGUAUUAAAUCUCUGCUUUCAAUCAUGUACUCAAUUGUUGUGUUAACCUCAUCUUAUUUUUCAUUCACAGAGCUAUGGCAAAGCCCAGCAAGAAAAUGGAGGUGACAAAAACCACUGAAAACCAUUCUGAUCGGGAGCAACAGUCAACAGAGACCUCCCACCAUGCCCCUGAAGCCACAACCGAUGAACCACCACUGGUUGAACACAACAUCUCCAUGGAUCAAAUGGAUGUUGACCUAGCCAGCACCAAGCUGCCAAGUCCCAUCAAGUCGCCAAGCCCCAUAAAGCCUACUGAAGAAAAGGUUGACAAUGUUAUCAUCACUGGGCUUGGCUUUAUAGCACCAGGCAAUCCCACUGUCUUGGCAAAGCACAGCGCCAAGGAAGAAAUUGUUGUUGCUGACAAAGGCAAAUGGUCAAUCAACUUAGAAAGUUAUGCCCACUUCAGCGCUCAAGAGAUCCACUCUGGGUACUUGAACCGCAUGCAUACAAGCCGCGACUUUGAAGCCGGCUUAGUCAACUUGAUGAAGGAGCGUUUUGAGGUAAACAUUGUAGCUCUCUUCAUAUGAAUAUACUUCCAUUAGCCGCCAAGUUUACUGGACAUGAUAGAAUGGGAUGUACUAUAGACUUUAAAUAGCCUUGUAGAUCAGAUUGAAUAGCCCCCAAGGGCCAGCUUAUACUUUCAAGAUAACCGGGACUUUCAAUAGUAACACUUCAAUGUUGCACAUGUGUAGCCCCCAAGGGUCGGCUUAAUCUGUCAAGAUGAGCCUGGACUUUGAAUAAGAUUCAAUUUCACACCUGUAGCCCCCAAGGGCCGGCUUAAUCUGUCAAGAUAAGCCAGGUCUUAUUACCAUAUUUGUCCAUAAAAUUCAAGCAUAUAGCCCCCAUGAAUUGGUUAUUGUCAUCAUAAUGUAGUCGGGUCAUCAUAAAAUUGUCUUCAGAAAAGUGCAAUGUGCAUUAGCCCCCAAGUGCACAGUGAAAUACUUGUAUUGUGCUUGGGACUUUUAAAUAAGAUGAUUAUAACCCCGCCUGCAGGUUGAACUUAAUGUCAAAGAAUCCCAAGUUGCCGAUCUUCAAGAGAACAUAAAGUCUCGGCAAUCUGAAACCUCCAAGGCCAAAGCCGAAUUGAUCACUACCUUGGCGGAGAUGGAAAAGCUGAAGAAAGAUUUCAAGGCUGACCAGGAAGGCUGGGAGACAGAGAAAACAGCUCUGUUGAAGAGAGCGGAGGAUGCAGAGGCAAGUCUUAAGCUGGUGGCUGAAGAGCUUGCCGGUUUAAAACAUCAAGUAAAUGCCAUGACUACUGCCAUCUUCGGUAAGUAACUUCAUCUCAAUUUGUUACUACCAGUGCAUUGCAAUCAUUAUUCAUCUGGCUUAUAGAUUUACUUGGCAAUGCAGGCUCCAGGAUUGCCCACCUUGGCUCGGAUAUGCGCAAGAAACUGAAAGCCGCAUAUACUCUGAUAGAGCAAUUAUAUACUGGCGCUCAACGAGCUAUCUCUACAGCCUCGCGUAAGAAGCAACCGCCAACCCUCAUCAAGGACACACUGGAGAAGCUAUUUGUGUUGCCCCAACAGGUUGAAGAGCUUAAACAAUCAGCUGCAAGAGCUGGUGCCAUCACUGCACUAACCCGGGCCAAGGCGUGGAAAGCAGAUCUUGACCCGAAGGAUUUGGCCAAUGGUUGCCCUAGUGUCAAGGAGGACGGGUCUCCCUUCAAUGCUGAGGACUUUGCUUCAAUAGCAAGAGAAAUGCGUCCUUUAGCAAGCAAGUUAGCUGAAGAUACCGACCUAUCACAUUAUCAGGUGGUUUACGAUGUUGACAACAAGAAGGUCAAAGCGCCAAUCCAUGAGUCCCAUGACCUUACUCCUCCAAUUCGUAAGCACACCUUCGCCCCUCACAUUGACCCGUCAACACUUAUUAGUGACGAGGCUGUAUUCAAAGCUUCGACUGGGAUCAACUGGGCAACCUCUGACUUCCAUCCAAUGGGUGAAGAAGAGGAUGAUGAACCGAUGCUGGAUGACCCACAACCCUCAACUCACCAAGGCCAAGACUAGUAAAAUGCAGGCCGGCUUAGCAUCUGUCAUUUGUGAUACUUUGCCAAAACACUUUUUUUGGGCCAUCUGUUGCCUUGUAAUAGGCUAGCUUGAAAACAAUUAUCUGUCAUGCCAUCGCGCAUGUUGAUCUGCAUAACACUUAUGAACCAUUUUGAUCUUCCUUGACGAUCCAAUGUUUAUGCUCAUACUCAUUAUAAACUUUGCUUAAGCAUGUUGUCAUAAACCCUGCAUACAAACAGAGCACGAGUACCUUGGCGGUUUACCCCAAGGCGGGUCAAAAUGCCCCAUAUAACAAGCCACUGGUGAUUAUAACAUCCAUAACCAGGGCCGGUUUACCAAAACCUUAUAGAAUCAUAACAAAAAUAAAUAUCAUACAUGUGAUAUUUAAGUAUAUUGCCAGUUCACCAUGCCAUAUAAAGUAAGGGUAACAACCAAGACCCAAAGCACAACGCCAUGUGCAAUUUAUUCAUACUGUCGGCUUACAAUGCAAGAAACAGCAAAGGAUAGCAUCCCAAAUCUUUAGAGUACAAAACUCCAAACAUAUGAUCAUCAUACACUGGCGACUUAACGUCCAAAGCCAGGUCGGGUUAACAAAACACUGGAUGUUAUCAAACAAAGAUUAAGGCAUCAUGGCCUGAAUCAAAUUUCAACCAUAUAUCAAUAUGGUACAUAAAUCACCAAAAAAGAGUCAAAGGCAAUAGAAAACAGAAGACCGAGGCAUUCAAAGGCUGCCAAGCCUCAACAUCAAGUGCUAUUCAAGGGUUGCACAGCCACUGGGUUACUCCUUAAUUCAAACCUGUAAGCCGGGCCUCACAUGACCAAUCGCCGUUUUAUCUUUGACAAGUUCAUGGUCUUUAAAAGAUUGACUGUCAAGAGUACGGCGAGUCAUUCCAAGAUUACCUGGUCGGAGUGGCAAGCAUAGAAAGGCAGGAUAACCCGGAUUUUUGGUGAAUACAGCUGGCGUCCAAGCCUAUUACGAGGGACAACAAAGCACCUAUUCAUUUAACAAGAAGCCCCCAAGUAAUAUUUUGAUGCAGGCAUUCAAGCCAGAUCAGUAGGGUAGUCAUAGCUAUGCUCAAUGAGCAGGAAGCCCCCAAGUAUUUGCAAUCAAGGCGUACAAGCCGGAUCAAAAGGGUAAUCAUAGCUAUGCUCAAUAAGAAAGAAGCCCCCAAGUGACCUUAUGAAGUAACAAUAAAGACUCAGAUUCUCAUAAAUGAAAUGACAGAGGCCCUGAAUCAUCAUGUAUGCUGGCUUUAUUAUACUAAUCAUAAUGUAUACAUUGGUGAAGGUAUGUACAUCACAAGAGCCGGUGGCUCAGGUGUAAUAAGGUUGAAGAUGAGCAAUAUUCCAGGGCCGAUGGGUCUCCUCCUCCGACGUGCAUGAGUCCUUGUGGUCUCAAACAUCCAUAAGGUAGUAUGACCCGUUGUUAAGACUUUUGCUGACCACAAAAGGUCCUUCCCAAGGUGGGGAUAACUUGUGCAUGUCAGUUCGAUCCUGGAUGAGCCGGAGCACCAAAUAUCCUUCUGAAAGGUCCUGGUUUUAACCCGGCGACUGUGAGAACAAUGCAAAUCUUGCUGGUAAAUCGCCGAACGAGCCGCCGCAAGGUCACACUCUUCAUACAAAAGGUCAACAGCAUCCCGACAUGCUUUCUCAUUACAAGCUUCAACAUAAGCCGCCACACGAGGCGAAUCAUGACGUAUGUCACUAGGGAGAACCGCCUCUGCUCCAUAAACCAUGAAGAAAGGCGUGUAACCCAUGGAUCUAUUGGGGUGAUAUUGAUACUCCAAAGCACUGAGGGCAACUCUUCCACCCAACAACUCGGUUUCCUUUGCAAAGGGACCAUAAGCCGGGGCUUGAUACCUCUCAAGAUUUCUUGACUGGCUCUUUUAGCUUGACCAUUAGACUGGGGGUGAGCCACCGAUGAUACAUCAAGCCGGAUAUGCUCUUCUUGACAAAACUCUUUCAUUGCACCCUUAGACAGAUUAGUGCCAUUAUCAGUGAUGAUACUAUGAGGGUAUCCAAAACAAAAGAUCACCUUUUUGAUGAACUGAACCAUCGUUGCUGCAUCACAUUUGCUGACUGGCUCAGCUUCAACCCACUUUGUAAACUUAUCAACAACUACCAGAAGAUGAGUCUUUUUGUCCUUGGACCUUUUAAAAGGCCCAACCAUAUCUAGCCCCCAGACUAUAAACGGCCAAGUAAUUGGAAUCAUCCUUAAUUCUUGAGCCGGCACAUGAGCUCGUCUUGAAAAUUUCUGGCAGCCAUCAUAUUUACUGACCAAAUCUUCUGCAUCAGCAUAAGUCAUCGGCCAAUAAAACACAUGACAAAAAGCUUUAGCAACGAGAGACUUAGAGCCGGCAUGUUGACCACAAUCUCCUUCAUGACUCUCCCUUAGAAUUUCACAGCCCUCCUCAGGAGAAAUGCAUCAUUGAAACACUCCUGUAACACUGCAUCUUUGUAGCUUACCAUUGACAACAGUCAUUGACUUAGACCUUCGAGUUAUUUUCUUGGCCAAGGUUUCAUCCUCCGGUAACUCGCCCUGGGUCAUAUAAGCCAAAUAUGGAAUAGUCCAAUCAAGAAUAACAUGGAGAGCCGCCACCAGCUGUGCCUCCGAGUCAGGAAUUGCAAGAUCUUCCUCUAUAGGCAAUUUGACUGAUGGGUUAUGCAAAACAUCAAGGAAAACAUUAGGGGGUACCGGCUUAUGCUGAGACCCCAGCCGACUUAAAGCAUCAGCGGCCUCAUUUUUCCGUCGGUCAACAUGCUCCACUUGAUAACCUUUGAAAUAACCAGCAAUAGUGUCAACCUCUCGACGAUAAGCCGCCAUGAGUGGAUCCUUUGAAUCCCAAGUUCCUGACACUUGUUGAGCCACCUAAGUCGCCAAAACACCUCACCCGGCAUAGAUUCAUCUCUUUAGCCAUCCGAAGACCGUGGGGAAAGGCUUCAUACUCAGCUGCAUUGUUAGUACAAGGGAACAUCAACCUUAAAACAUAACAAAAUUUAUCACCUCAUGGGGAAGUCAAUAUAACUCUAGCCCCUGAGCCUUCCAAUUGCCUGGAUCCAUCGAAGUGAAUAGUCCAAUAUGUGCUAUCUGGCUUAUCAUGAGUCAUCUACAAUUCCGUCCAGUCAUUGAUAAAAUCCACAAGUGCUUGAGACUUUAUAGCUGCCUGAGGCAUAUAUUUCAAGACAUGGGGUCCAAGCUCAAUGGCCCACAUAGCCACCCGACCUAUGGCUUCUCUGUUUUGAAUAAUAUCUCCCAAGGGAGCAGAACUAACCACAGUGAUGGGAUGACCAAGGAAAUAUUGCUUCAACUUGCGGCUAGCCAUGAACACGCCAUAUACCAACUUCUGCCAAUGUGGGUAUAGCUGCUUAGACUUAAUGAGCACUUCACUGACAUAAUAAACCAGCCUUUUAACCGGAUACUCCUUGCCUGAAUCCUUCCUUUUAACCACAACUGCCACACUGAUAGCUCUGUUGUUUGCAGCCACAUACAACAACAAGGGCUCCUUCUCCAUAUGAGCUACAAGAACCGGCGGUUCAGCCAGCUGUCUCUUAAGCACCUCAAAUGCCUCAUUAGCAGCAUCACUCCAGACAAAGUCAUCUGUCUUUUUCAUCAUUUGAUACAAAGGGAUGGCCUUCUCUCCCAGGCGGCUUAUAAACCGGCUCAAAGCUGCAAUUUGACCCGCCAAACAUUGGACGUCAUUGAUACACGCCGGCUUAGCCAAAGAAGUGAUAGCCUUGAUUUUUCUACGGGUUAGCUUCAAUGCCCCUCUCAGAAACCAGGAAACCCAAAAGCUUACCUGCUGGCACGCUAAAGACACACUUGGCCGGGUUAAGCAUCAUCUUAUAAACCCGGAGAUUGUCAAAGGUCUCUUACAAAUCAUCUAUCAAAGUUUCCUUUUUCCUGGAUUUCACAAUGAUAUCAUCCACAUAAGCAUGAACAUUUCGCACAAUCUGGUCAUGGAGGCAAUUCUGAACACAUCGUUGGUAAGUCACCUGGGCACUCUUAAGCCCAAAGGGCAUAGACACAUAAUAGAAGGCUCCAAAGGGAGUGAUAAAAAUUGUCUUCUCCUGGUCCUUAACUGCCAUCUUGAUCUGAUGAUAACCAGGAUAAGCAUCCAAAAAGCUCAAACGCUCACAACUCGCCAUAGCAUCAAUAAUCUAAUCAAUACAAGAGAGAGUAAAAGGGUCAACCGGGCAGGCCUUAUUAAGGUCUGUAUAAUCCACACACAUACGCCAAGUGUUGAUUUUCUUAAGUACCAGCACCGGGUUAGCUAACCACUCAGGAUGAAAAUCUUCAAUGAUGAACCCUGCCGCCAAGAGCCGGGCCACUUCUUCCCCAAUUGCCUUGCGCCUCUCUUCAUUGAAACGACGUAGGAAUUUCUUGACCGGUUUAAACUUUGGAUCCACAUUAAGAGUGUGCUCAAUGAGUUCCCUCGAUACACCUGGCAUGUCAGAAGGUUUCCAUGCAAAGAUGUCCCGAUUCUCACGGAUGAACUUUGAAAGAACAUGCGGUGCCCCCAUGUUUGGUUUUGGCAAUUGAUGACAAUCUCUAUGGACUAAUGGUUGCCUUGAGUUAUAUUUGAAGGGUUUGUCCAUAGGCUUUUCUUGGAGUCCAUUUGUUGGUUUCAAGGAGAGUUUGUGAUGACCAAGUUGCUAUUAAGGAAUUAUCCAAAGAUUGGUCUUAUGAGUGUUGAGCUUAUUGCAAGCAUGUCUUGAAGAAGAAGAUUGUGUGAUCAUUCAUGUUUACCUUCAAGACAUCAUCCAAAUGAAGAGAGUUGGAAAGAUUCAAGGUUGAUCAAGACUAAGUCAAAGAAUGAAUCAAGUUGAUCAACACACAAAGCAUAGAAGAUGUACCGAGAGGGAUCAAGCGAUCCCAUGGUAUGGUAAGCAUGGUCAAUUAUGCUUUGUGUACUAAUCCAUGGUCUUCGUGAGAGUUCUUUGUGGGGUUAGGUUGCAGUGUGCAAGCUCAAGUUGAAUCAUCACGAAGAGAUCAUAUGCUUGAAGCUUGCCGUCCAUUGUGGCGACAAUGGACUUGUGAAGAUGUGCAGAAGAGUGGCUCACCCAUAGUGGAGUAUGGGGAGCAAUCAACUAGUCUUCUUUGAGCCAAUGCAAUCAAGAAAGGUGGUCCAAUUUGAGGGAGUCAAGAUCGUCAUCAUCUAGCUCAAGUGGAUCAUGUGCAAGGCAAAGGUUUGCCCUUGAUAGGUUUUCUAUUUUACCGGUCUCACGGUAGUUGUGGGAGACCGGGUUAUAGGAUUGAUUGCUGUACUAUCAAGGGGGGCUCUCGAUGAGUUGCUUGAUCGUAUCGUUCGUAGAGAGCUCAAACCAUUGCAUCCUUGCAUCAUAUUUCCUGGUUCUUAUUUGGUUCUUCUCCUUGUGAGAUUUGGAGCUUUUGGUCAUGUUCAUGACAAGCUCGAGUUCAUCGAAAACGGAGUUCACUUGCAUCUUCUAUGAUGUUUUCGAUGUUGGAGGGUAUGCCGGUUCUUCUUGGUUGGAGGUUUCACUCCUUUGUUUUGAUGCUACUCGUCUUGCUCUAUCCAACAAGCUUGAGUUUGCUCAAUUCGGAGCUCAUUUGCAGAAGUUAUGGCAGUUCUGGUUUCCUUUGGAGUUUUCUUUGUUUUAGCGGUAGUGGCUUAUGGCUGGCGCCAGCGGUAGUACCGCCAAAGCUCCCCAGCGGUAGAACCGCUCUCAGAGCGGUAGUACUGCUCCAAGCGGUAGUACCGCUCUCCGAACGGUAGUACCGCUUGGGGUUUUCGGCCGUAGUACCGCUGUGUAACACCUUGGAUGUAACUUUCCAUCUUUGUAACUCCAACUCUUGCCAUUUUCGGCCAUGUGAUAUGAUAUUCCCUCUGUGGUUGGGUUUUGUCUUUUGGUUUGCAUUUUAUUCAUGUCAUGCAUAUCAUAUCAUGUCAUCAUGUGCAUCUCAUUUGCAUACGUGUUCGUCUCAUGCAUCCGAGCAUUUUCCCCGUUGUCUGUUUCGCAAUCCGACACUCACACAUGCACCGGCGCACCCCUCUUGUCUCCUUUUCGUGUGCGGGUGUUGAACGUUCUCGGAAUGGACCGAGCCUUGCCAAGUGGCCCUGGUAUAGCACCGGUAGACCACCUGUCAAGUUUCGGGACGUUUGGAGCUCGUUUGGUACUCCAACGGUUAUCCGCAUAUUCGCAAGGCCUCUUUUAAGUUGCAGCCCAACACCCCUCCAAAAUAGCCCAAUAACCCAUCUAACUCCCCUCCACGCUCUCCGUCGUCGGAUCACGAUCGUGUGGGCGAAAAUCGCACCUCAUUUGGACUCUCCUAGCUCCCUCUAUGCCUAUAUAUACACCCCCAUUCCAAAUUCGGGGAUCCUCUCCCCCCCCCCUAACCCUAAAAAUCCCAGAUCCGCCGCCGCCNNNNNNNNNNNNNNNNNNNNNNNNNNNNNNNNNNNNNNNNNNNNNNNNNNNNNNNNNNNNNNNNNNNNNNNNNNNNNNNNNNNNNNNNNNNNNNNNNNNNNNNNNNNNNNNNNNNNNNNNNNNNNNNNNNNNNNNNNNNNNNNNNNNNNNNNNNNNNNNNNNNNNNNNNNNNNNNNNNNNNNNNNNNNNNNNNNNNNNNNNNNNNNNNNNNNNNNNNNNNNNNNNNNNNNNNNNNNNNNNNNNNNNNNNNNNNNNNNNNNNNNNNNNNNNNNNNNNNNNNNNNNNNNNNNNNNNNNNNNNNNNNNNNNNNNNNNNNNNNNNNNNNNNNNNNNNNNNNNNNNNNNNNNNNNNNNNNNNNNNNNNNNNNNNNNNNNNNNNNNNNNNNNNNNNNNNNNNNNNNNNNNNNNNNNNNNNNNNNNNNNNNNNNNNNNNNNNNNNNNNNNNNNNNNNNNNNNNNNNNNNNNNNNNNNNNNNNNNNNNNNNNNNNNNNNNNNNNNNNNNNNNNNNNNNNNNNNNNGCCUCUCCUCCGCCUGCGGACGCCGCCGUCGCCGGCCUCCGCCCCGGCGUCCUCCUCCGCCGCCGCUUCCCCGUCCUCCGGCAGCGCGCCGCCGCCGCCCGUUCUCCGGCGAGCCCGGCCUCGCCUCGGUUCGCGCGCUCCAGAUCCGUUCUGGAAAUCGCCACGGUUGACCCCGAAAACGUCCAAGUCAUUUUUCUGUGAUUAUUUUAUUGCAUCUUCAUCGCAUCACAUCUUCGCACCCGUAGUUCCGUUUUAGGCGUGUAAUAUGUCAAAUUGUUUGCCUAGAAGAGUACAUCAUUUCAUUCCAUUGCAUCAUUUGCAUUUGAGCUCAUCUUGAUGCCCGAAAUGUUGUUGGAAGAGGGCUUCAUAAUGUUAGUUUCAGAAUCUUAUCAGCACGAGUUCUUUUGUCAUUUUUGCCACGAUUGAUGUGUGCAUCCUAUGGACUUGGUCCCUAAAUGUGUUUUGAACUAGGCUAUGUAUUCUUUACAGAGGUGCUUACCAUGUAUUUUUGUGAUCAAUGUGGUGACUAGCACAAGCAUGCAAACUAGGCUUCGUGUUAACGCUGAUUUUAGUUCCUGUUCUGCUGUAAAUUUGAUGCCAUGUAAAAAUGUUGCUAUAGAGAAAUCCAUGCAUAAUUUGAGAUACUUCAGUAAGGGUGUUUUGAAAACAUGGUUUUGCUCUAUCCAUCCAUGGUCCUGGUUGCAAUUAUGAAGUAGUCUAGCAUGUCAUUUUCGUGCUCUACUUUUGCUUCAAAAUGUUUCCUGGCAGAUUGUUUACAUGUUAUUCGAUUUGGCCGAGGUUGUUGUAGUUGGUCCGGAUAUGCUAUGAUGUUGUUUCUUGCCAUGUAUAGCUUCUAUGACAUGUCUUCUUGAUGGAUGUAUGCUUAGUUUAUCAUUAGGUGCUCUGUAGUGAGUGCAUCGAGCUCACGAAGGUGCCUUCAUAAUUAUUUCAAUGCCAUGCUUUGUUUGCUGAAAUCUGUUAACGAAACUUGCUAUGUUUACGUGGGUACCAUCAUAUUUUCUAGUCCUUUUUGGCUUAUGGUCAGUAAGGGACUUUUGAUCUAUGCUUUGAGUAGAUUCAUGCCAUGCCUUAGUUUGCUAUUAUAAGUUCCUGUAGCAUGUUGAAAACUUGCUCUGAACAUUGCUUCGUGCUGCUGUUUAUGCCAUGUCCAACCUGAUAAUUUUUUUGCAUUUUCCCCAUGCUUGUUUGAACCUGUUAUGAUGUGAAUUAGCCGUAGCUCAGUGCUCCUAUUUUGUAAAGCAUCUCCUGUAGAUCACUGCCAUAUUCUUUAUUUUUAUGUUGGGGUGCUGUAGCAUAGUUUAUUGUUGCAUGCUAAGUAGCAUCGUGUUGUUAAUCGCAGCUUUGUGCCAUACUUGUCUUGCUUGCCAUUUGCAAACCGUGCAUCCGUUUCCGGUGAUCUUUAUAUCGAUUUCAACCGAAAUCAUCUCAUCUUUCCAGCGGCAUACUUGGUUUGCCAAGUUGAUGCCUUGUUCAUCAUUUUUCCUCCCGAAGCACGCAUAUGCAUUGCAUAUCACAUCUCGCAUAUCAUGUCAUGUUUUGCAUCAUGUUGCUUGUGCAUUGCACCAUGAUUUAUUGUGGUUCCUUGCUUGUGUUCUUGCUUUGGUAGAGCCGGGAGACGAGUACGUGCACGAGGAACCUGUUGAGUACGCUAACGAGGAUCCAGCCUUCGACAACUCUGAGAACCUUGCAGGCAAGAUGAUCAUACCUUCGAUAUCACUUCUAUCUUUGCUUGCUAGUACUCGCUCUAUCGCUAUGUUAGCCCUACCUGCCUUUGUUUACCAUGCCUACCUAUUGCCAUGUUAAACCUCUAACCAACCUGUCCUAGCAACCGUUGUUUGGCUAUGUCACUGCUUUUGCUCAGUCCCUCUUAUAGCAUUGGUAGUUGCAGGUGAAGAUGAAGUUUGUUCCUGGUCGGAACACGGAUAUUCUGGGAUAUCACAAUAUCUCCUGUUUAAAUUAAUGCACCUUAUAUACUUGGUAAAGGGUGGAAGGCUCGGCCUUAUGCCUGGUGACUUGUUCCACUCUUGCCGCCCUAGUUCCGUAUACCGGUGUUAUGUUCCUUGAUUUUGCGUUCCUUACAUGGUUGGGUGAUUUAUGGGACCCCCUUAACAGUUCGCUUUGAAUAAAACUCCUCCAGCAAGGCCCAACCUUGGUUUUACCAUUUGCCACCUAAGCCCUUUCCCUUAGGUUUUCGCGAGCCCAAGGGUCNNNNNNNNNNNNNNNNNNNNNNNNNNNNNNNNNNNNNNNNNNNNNNNNNNNNNNNNNNNNNNNNNNNNNNNNNNNNNNNNNNNNNNNNNNNNNNNNNNNNNNNNNNNNNNNNNNNNNNNNNNNNNNNNNNNNNNNNNNNNNNNNNNNNNNNNNNNNNNNNNNNNNNNNNNNNNNNNNNNNNNNNNNNNNNNNNNNNNNNNNNNNNNNNNNNNNNNNNNNNNNNNNNNNNNNNNNNNNNNNNNNGGAAACUUGAGGGAUGGUUUUACUCGUAGCCUGUCUCAUCCGGUGUUGCCCUGAGAACGAGAUAUGUGCAGCUCCUAUCGGAAUUUGUCGGUGCAUCGGGCGGCUUUGCUGGUCUUGUUUUACCAUUAUCGAAAUGUUUUGCGAACCGGGAUUCCGAGACUGAUCGGUUCUUCCCGGGAGAAGGUCUAUUCCUUCGUUGACCGUGAGAGCUUGUGAUGGGCUGAGUUGGGACACCCCUGCAGGGUAUAUAAUCUUUCGAAAGCCGUGCCCGUGGUUAUGAGGCAGAUGGGAAUUUGUUAAUGUCCGGUUGUAGAUAACUUGACACUUGACUUCAUUAAAAUGCAUCAACCGAGUGUGUAGCCGUGAUGGUCUCUUCUCGGCGGAGUCCGGGAAGUGAACACGGUUUAUGUUAUGCUUGACGUAAGUAGUUUCAGGAUCACUUCUUGAUCGCUUCUAGCUUCUCGACCGACGCGUUGCUUCUCUUCUCGCUCUCACUUGCGUAUGUUAGCCACCAUAUAUGCUUAGUGCUUGCCGCAGCUCCACCAUAUUACACCUUUCCCACCUAUGAACUUAAAUAGUCUCGAUCUCACGGGUGUGAGAUUGCUGAGUCCUCGUGGCUCACAGAUUCUACCAAAACAGAUGCAGGUGCCGAGGAUACCAGCGUAGAUGGCGCAACUGAGCUGAAGUGGGAAUUUGAUGAGGCCCUUGGUCGUUACUAUGUAUCGUUUCCAGAUGAUCAGUAGAGGUGCCCAGUCGGGACGAUCGGGGAUCUGUGUAGCUUUUGGGGUAGUCUUCUUUUAUUUUUGGUUCCGUAGUCGGACCUUGAGUGUAAUCUGGAUGAUGGAUGUUUAUUUAUGUAUUGUGUGAAGUGGCUACUGUAAGCCAACUAUGUAUCUUUUCCCUUAUGUAUUACAUGGGUUAUGCGAAGAUUACCUCACUUGCGACAUUGCUUUCAAUGCGGUUAUGCCUCUAAGUCGUGCUUCGACACGUGGGAGAUAUAGCCGCAUCGAGGGUGUUACGCGCUGUGCGUCUAGGCUACUUCCGCCUUGAUUCUCGAACAAAGUUUUUCGUGUCGGGUUUUGCAGCACUAAGGGCGGCAGUAGGAGCGGUAGUACCGCCCUAAGCGGUAGUACCGCUCUUCCCUAGCGGUAGUACCGCCCUGGGCCCUAGCAGCACGGCAGUACCGCUGGGUUGAGCGGUAGUACCGCCCGAAGCGGUAGUACCGCCCUUCCCUAGCGGUAGUACCGCUCUGUGCGGGGAUGUUCAGUGGGGUAACGGUUGGAUUUUCCCCCUCCUAUAAAAGGGGGUCUUCUUCCCCAUUGAACCUUAUCCUUUGAGCUCGUGUUCUUCCCCCAUUGUUGACCUUCUCCGAGCUUGCUAUCUCUCGAUCCCUCCAUGGAUUCUUGCUAGUUUUGGGGGGAAAAGAGAGAGGAGAUCUAGAUCCACAUUUCCACCAAUCACUUUCUCCUCUAUGUGAGGGGAACCCCUUGGAUCUAGUUCUUGGAGUUCUUGGUGUUCUCCUUCUUGUUCUUCCUCUCAUUUUCCUCCCUAGCAUUAGUUGCUUUGGUGGGAUUUGAGAGAGAAGGACUUGGGCACUCUGUGUGCCCUUGCCAUUGCAUUUGUGCAUCGGUUUGAGUUCUCCACGGUGAUACGUGGAAGUUACAAGUGGAGAAGCUUAUUACUCUUGGGUGCUUGGUGCCCUUGAGCUUGUUCCUCUUGGGUGCUUGGGCGCCCUAGUCGGUUGGUGGUGUUCGGAGCUCAAUCAUUGUGGUGUAAAGCUCCGGGCAAGCGUCGGGGUCUCCAGUUAGGUUGUGGAGAUCGCCCCGAGCAAUUUGACGGGUACCGGUGACCGCCCCCAAGGGUUGUCAAAGUGUACGGGUUCGGGGACCGCCCCCAAGGGUCGCCAUUUGUACGGGUUCGGUGACCGCCCUCAAGGGUCCCUUAGUGGAAUCACGGCAUCUUGCAUUGUGCGAGGGCGUGAGGAGAUUACGAUGGCCCUAGUGGCUUCUUGGGGAGCAUUGUGCCUCUACACCGCUUCAAACGGAGAUUAGCAUCCGCAAGGGUGUGAACUUCGGGAUACAUCGUUGUCUCUGCGUGCCUCGGUUAUCUCUUACCCGAGCCCCUUUACUUAUGCACUUUACUUUGUGAUAGCCAUAUUGUUCUUUGUCAUAUAUCUUGCUAUCACAUAGUUGCUUAUCUUGCUUAGCAUAAGUUGUUGGUGCACAUAGGUGAGCCUAGUCGUUGUAGGUUUUGUGCUUGACAAAUUAACCGCUAGGUUUAUUCCGCAUUUGUUCAAGCCUAAACCGUAAUUAUUUUAAAGCGCCUAUUCACCCCCCCCCUCUAGGCGACAUCCUCGAUCUUUCAAACUUGAUGAGCGCGCUUUCCUAUUUGGGAUCCAUAUUAGAACUGAUGUUGAACUGCUUGGAUGAGUCGCCAGGCACAAAAUCAACCAUCUUAGUGUCAUUUGCCGACUUAAACUUCAACAGGGGGUCAUUUUCUGUAGUUGGCUUCUUCAAAGGCGUCAUAUCCGCCAGGUCAACAUAUCCUUAAAAAUGUUUAACUCCUUAGUAGCACAGGCCGACUCGACAUACGUAGCAUCACCCUCUUCACAAUCUAGAGAAAUCUUUCUAUCACCAUGCACCGUGAUGGUACCCUUGUGACUCGGCAUUUUAAGCUGCAAAUAAAUAUAACAAGGUCGUGCCAUAAAUUUGGCAUAAGCCAGCCGCCCGAACAAAGCAUGAUACGGGAUCUUGAUCUUGACCACCUCAAAGGUCAGUUUCUCAGCUCUGGAGUCAUGAUCGUCUCCAAAGGCCACCUCCAAGGUUAUCUUACCCACUGGAUACGCCGACUUACCAGGCACCACCCCAUGGAAAACAGUAGAAGACGUCUUAAGAUCUUUGUCAGUCAAAUUCAUAUGACGAAAAGUCUCAUAGUAAAGGAUAUUGAUGUUGCUGCCCCCAUCCAUGAGCACCUUUGUAGGCUUAUACCCUCCUAACUAGGGAGCAACUGCCAACGCCAAUUGACCAGGGUUGUCAACCCGAGGAGGGUGAUCCUCCCGGCUCCAUACAAUAGGCUGCCCAGACUAGCUCAAAUAACGAGGUACUGCCGGCUCAACUGAGUUCACCGCCCGCUUAUGGAUUUUCUGAUCUCACUUGCACAGGCUUGUGGUGAAGACAUGAUAUUGACCACUAUUCAGCUGCUUUGGAUUACUUUGAGAACCAGACUGUUGCUGCUGAUUCCCUUGGCCAGAUUGCUGAUUAAAACUACCUUGAUUACCUUGGCCUUGAAAGCCAGAGCUUGAACCGCCACCUCCAAAACCAGGCCCGUGGGAGCCGGAACCUGAACCGCGGUGCGGGCCACGAUUGUUCUGGACAGAUGACUGGUCGGCUUAUCCUGGGUUUCGUGCUUCGGACAAGGCUGAUUCAUCAUGGCCUCAAGGUUGAACUUCGGCCCUCCAAAACGGGGCGCUUGCGUUUUACCCUCACGGCGCUGGUUAUUACUCUGCAUAUUGGUGUUAGCCAUGAAGUCUAACCCGCCUUCUGCCUUACGUUCACCAUUGCCACCUUGACUCGUCGUGCUAUGUUGUCCCUUUGCAUUGCCACUUUUCUUCCCCUUUCCAACCUUCUCCUCAUCAGAUUCAUGGUACUUCAUGCUAUCAGAGUCGUCAUAUUUGAUGAGAGCCGCCAUGAGCUCCCACAUAUCAUUGCAAUUACGCUUAAGCCGCCCCAAUUUCUGCUUAAGGGGAAGAAAACGGCAAUUCUUCUCUAACAUCAGGACUGUUGAACCGGCGUUGAUACUGUCCUAUGAGUGUAUAAUAGCUGAGAUCCGGUGCACCCAAUUGGUUGUUGACUCACCUUCACCUUGGACGCAAGAAUCCAAAUCCAGAAUCAACAUAUGCCACUUGCAUGUGUCUUUCAAAUUUUGAAUAAAUCGCUUUUUCAACUCCGCCCAUGACCCGAUGGAAUUAGCGGGCAGCCCAUUCAACCAAGUACGAGUCGGGCUAUCCAACACCAUGGUGAAAUACUUAGCACAUGCAGCAUCACUGACAUCCAACAUCUCCAUAGCCAUCCCAUACCUCUCAAUCCAAGCCUCUAGGGGCUGAUCCACCGUGUAAUUGGGAACCUUGCGGGGGCCCUGGAAAUCCUUAGGCAAGCGCUUGUUGCGUAGAGCCGACACUAAACACGGCACACCCAAGAUUCUAGAGGUCACUCCUGCCUCGACAGACUCUGUCGGAUAAACCGGAGAUUGCUGUUGAGCCGCCAGCUGAGCUGCCAAUUUCGCCUCACACCGCGCUCUGCCCUGAUCCACCAAAGUCUGAGCCUCAUUACCAGCAUGCGGCGGGUCAGGCCUACGAGGUUGAUUGCGGUGCCACUCACUGCUUGAUAUGGCCUGUUUAUCAAUGUGCAUGCUAUAGCUCCGGCUUGGACGUGGGGUUGAGUGAAUCCGAUCACGACUGUAUGAAUAAGCCGCCUGUUGAGCCACUGCUGUCUGAAGAAGUACUUCGGCUCUCCUUAUUUCUAUCGCUGCUGGCGACUCAUCCUGAACCAGGAGAGCCGCCAAUUGAGUAGCCGCAUCUAUCACGUUAUCCAAAGGAUUAGAAAAAUGGCCUGGGGGCAUCGGAACAUGCUGAGGAGGGGUCAAAUUCAAACAUGGGGGGUCUGUAGCACGUGGCUGAACCGGUGCUCCGGCCGCCGGCGCCUCAACGGCCCGAUCCACACCAGGCGGGUUACUGGUUCCUGCCCCAGGCGUGUUGAAAAGGUUCCUUGCAUCGUAAACCGGGGCAAGUGACUCACAUGCCUUCUGUUAAAGACACCGAUUGAUGCGUCCCGGUCCAAGCUCAAGUGAAAGUUAUCUUCCUGAAGCCGUUCUACCUUCCUCUGCAAGGCGGCUCACUCCAUUGCCAUCCGGGUGUUCUCAGCGUUUAGAUCCUCCUUGGCUUGGGCUACCUUAUCAAGUAACUUUGCAACAUCCACGUUAUGAUGUGUCUGGUUCUCCGGGGUUACCUCUGCCAUCAACAAUGUUGCCAGAGCCUCCAACAAAUCAGAUAAAACUUGAGCCGGCGGGCACACAGGGCCUCCUGCCCAGGCUGCGGUUGCCGUUGUUGACCUGGAGAUCAUUGCUGCUGCAGUUGAAGAAUUCUGCCCUAGUUGUGUACCGGCCAUGAAGAUUGUAACCCGGUUUGGCGGCUCAUAGGGGUCCGGAAUACUGUCACCAUCAGAACAGCCUCCAAGCCUACCAUCUUGAACUUGAUAUAUGGAAUUGGUCUCACCGGUUGAGGACUCAUCACCUGAAUAGACGGUCGUCUCGCCACCGGAUUCAGCUCCUCCUUCCAGAUCCACCCCUUGAGUAAAGCCAACAAAUACAUGCUUCGGGGCGGCUUGAACCUUGGCAGGUUGCGCGCGCUGAGCCGUCUUGAAGAUGUCGGUGCAGGUGUCUGGCUCAGCUUCCGACUCACCAAUCUUGCCAAUGAAGACGUGGAUUCCACCGAAGGGGACCCAGUACCCGUACUCGAUUGAGCCGGCCUCGGGGCCCCAGCUUGCGUCAUUGAUGUAGAGCUUGCCGCGACGACUCUUGGUCAUCCGGCCCAUAGUGUAUCCCUUGAGCAUUGUGAAGUUGCCCUUCAAGAACUCAAAACCACCGUGCGCUGGCCUCACGGUGGGCGCUAACUGUCAUGGAAUUGUCAUGGCAGAUGCCCUAGCAUGAGGACUUAGAUGUGGAGCCAUCGCACGUAGUUAGCCUAAAGGGGUUAAAUGGGACAAGGGAUACAGAGAGUUUUUACCCAGGUUCGGCCCCUCGCAACGAGGUAAAGGCCUACUCCCGCUUUAGGUUGUAUUGCUUUGGUUCCGAUUACCAGGGAGCGAAUACGCUUGACCUAGUUCUCAACUUGUUGUUUCUUGCCCUAACCCGCCGCCGGGUCGCCCCUUUAUACACAGGCUGAUGCCCGGUGGCUUUACAGAGUCCUGGCCGGCUCAUACACAACGUGUCCGGCUCGGUGACAGAACUAAUCUUUCCUUAACAUACAAGUUAAACAUAUGGCGGUUUAUGCCCGUGGGCCUAAAGUCUCCUCCGGGUCUUGGGCCUUCAGUAAGCUUGCUUUAUGAACCGUCAUCUUCAAUAUCUUCUUGGGCCUUCUCAUUAUGAACCGCCGGUGGUAUGACCCGGCUACUCCUGGGCGGGUCAUACCCAAUAGUUAUAUCCCCAACACUGGUUCUAGUUGUGCCCCUAUGGAUGUCACUUUAUUCGGAUCUGUAGGGUACACUUGGAAUUUGAUGAUCUCGUCAGCUAGUUUAAAUGAGGUUGGUUUUGAUCCUUUGUCAAGGAUGACAUCGUCCCUAUUGACCGUGGCCCGGAGUGAUGUCAACUCUUCGGCCGCGAGGGCCUCGGAUAGUGACUCCAGGGCGAGGGAUGUUGUUUUGUUUUCGGCUCUAAGCACUCUGUUGGGGUUGCUUGAGAUGGUGAUCCCCCCGUUCGGGCCCAGCAUCUUAAGCUUCAUGUGGCCAUAAUGCGGGAUUGCGUGGAAUUUUGAGAAAGUGCCACGCCCUAUGAGGGCGUGGUAGCCACUUUGAAAGGGGACGAUAUGAAAGGUCACUUCUUUGGAUUGAUAGUUCUCGGGAGUUCUGAAGACCAUGUCCAAGGUGAUUUUUCCACUGCAUCGUGCUCCUCUGUCGGGUAUUAUUCCUUUAAAGGUGGUGUAGCUCUGCAUGGUGCACGAUUUAUAAUUUGCAUCUUGUCCAGAGUAUCUUUGUAGAUGAGGUUUAGACUGCUCCCUCCGCCCAUCAGCACUUUUCGAAGUCGACAACCAGCGACGAUUAGGUCAAGGACCAAGGCAGCCGCACAUCGUCUCGAGCCGCCCUUCGGUUGGUCAUGUUGUUCGAAGGUGAUUGGUGUGUCUAGCCACGCGCCUGGGGUCGCAACAUGUUGGACGCAACGGAGCUCCCGAUGGGCUCUUUUCUCUGGGUUUUUUAGGUGAAUGUUUUGUAAAUCAUCAGGGUCUCGUCUUCGUCCGAGGAUGCUUCCAGAUGCCUGUGUUCGUGCUUGUUCCCGUGGAGAGCCUCGCCUUCGCUAGCCACCUGUUUCAGCACCCAACAAUCUCGAAGAAUGUGGGUUGGGCUGAUGUUGAGUAGAAAGGAGUGUAUUAGGCAUGGUUUGUCCAAUAGUCCGUCAAGAAAAUUCAAAAAAAAUAGUCCGUCAAGGGUAGUCUUGGAUUGUAUUACAUGUUUUUUUCCUUUUCCGGGGUGGGUCCGCUGGUGCGAGCCGGUGAGAGCAUUCUUGUCGGCUGCUAGAUUGUCAUGCUUCGUCCUCCCGACGUAGAUUGAAUCUUCUUGUUCUUUUUGCGCCAACAAGCAUCCUCUAUGGUGCAAAAUUUUGACACCAGAUCUGAUAGUUCGAAAAAUGUUUGGAUGCAGCGUUGGGAGAGGGCGUUUAGAACGCCUUUGUCUUUGCAGUUAUCCUAGAAAGUUAAUAAUAUAUCGGGAUCACGACAGUCUGGUAUCUUGUUCUUGUCGAACAGGAAUCAGGCCGAGAAUUUCCUGAUCGUUUCAUCAGGUCGCUGUUGUAUGUAGACUAGAUCCCAGAUAUCAGAGGGCCCUGAGUUACUUGGGCAGUACUCGAUAUGGGAGGUGAGUGGGAGAAAGAAAAUUAUUCCCACCGCUCGCGGGCUCGAAACUCUCGAGAAGGAUGUGUUGACGAUGGAUCGGCUGAAUUGAUCUUGAGAUCUGAUUCCUUGGCUUCUUCCGUCUGGUCGUCUUCACGGUCGCUCGCCAGGUAAUACCUUGGUCCCUGGUCCUCCAUAGGGGAAUUCUUGACAGGGGCGAGAGAAAAGGUGGAGGGCUCGGGUCUUGCUUCCCACUCGUCGGGGCCUGACUCUUGAUGGAGGAGGCGCUAUCCAGUGACAGGAGAUUGGGGCGUGGAUGCCACGCCAUGAAAUCUUGGUUGUUAACCGACGAUCCCAUUAUUCCUUCUUUGAUCACACAGCAGAACUCUCAAUGGAAAUAUCAAUGUCGGUACUAAAACCGACAUACCUCGGGUAGGGGGUCCUGAGUUGUGGAUCCCGGAUCUAUGGGUAACAAGAGACGGAGGGGAUAUUAUUUACCCGGGUUCGGGCCCUCUCGAAGAGGUAAUACCCUACAUCAUGCUUUGAUUGUAUUGAUGAUGUAUUGAGUACAAAUUUGAUCUACCUCGAGAUCUUAAGUUGUGUUCUAACCCUAAGGCUAGAUGGUUGUAGUUGUGAUCGUAUUCUACUAAACCCUUCGGAUUAUAUAGACAUUGGGGGUACCUAGGGUUACACAUGGUCAGUUGCCAAUCUAGGGAUACACAUGUCGGCGGCCAACGCAGUCCUUGAGUACACGUCAAGUCUUCGACGAAGUCCACCUUGAUCACGCGGAAGUGUGAGGCCUUCGGAGUCUUUCCUUAUAAGAAAGGUGGGUCGUAAGCUUGGCACAUGGACUGUGGGUCAACUAGGUUGGUACCCCCUAGUGCAGGACACCGUCACCUGCCUCCAAAGUGAAGACAAUGUUGAACACAUUUUGGUGUAGUGCAUCUAUACUCAUGAAGUUUGGCACCGUUGUCUCAGAACACUUCAACUUCUCAUUCCUAGGCCAGUGGAGACGGACACGUUCUUGAAAUGGUGGCUUCGUUAACGAGCUAGCUUUCGGGCGACUGAGAAAAGAGGGUUCGAUAGCUUUGUCAUUUGCGCAGCCUGGUCGUUGUGGAAACAACGGAAUGCUCGAGUCUUCGACACACCUAAGCAACAAAUUGAAGCUAUUGGCUUUGCUAUCAAAAUCCUAGAUGAACUUGAAGAAUGGAAGUUAGCCCUUAUCGGAAUAGUAGGCCCACAACGUUUCGUGAGAUAGUAGGCUAGUUUUUUUUUGCGGGUAGGCUAGUUAGCUUGAUUGGAGCGGGUGUAUACCUACGUCGAUGUUCACAUCCUCGUUAGGUUUCUUGUAAAGUUAUUUUUAUCUUUCAGAAAAAUAUGGUACGCAACUUGCGUAUUCUUGAGAAAAAAUUAUGACGGGAAAAACCUAUCCACAAAAGUGCAUUUUAUUUUCUUCCAAAUCUCUUGUGGCAUUUGGCUGUGCCGCCACCACGUCAGAAAAGGCCACCACACGUGUCGAGUUGGUAAACUCCGUCUAGGCCCUUUUCCUGUUCGCCUAUCCGUCCGAGAUCAGUUGCCUAUCCUCCUCCGCUCCGUUCCGUUUUCCUCCGGCCGCUUGUUGGCCUCCGCAAAUUUGCUACUACCUCGUUAUCCCCCGCGCAAAAAGGAUGGUCGGAUAAUAACGAGGCGAAUUUCGUUCCUUUCUUAUUAAUCGCCCCUGGGUAUCUUCGUCCGCGAAACCCAAAAAAAGAGCGCAUUUAAUAAUUCGAAUCCGUUCACGUCCGCGGUGCGCUUUUCUUUUGGGCGAUGGAAAGGCCGGAGAGGUAAGUCGUGACGCGACGUCCGCGUUUUGUUUGAGUGCCCGUCCCGGUCCCUGUGGCGUCGCUUCAGUGGGCCGCCGCCGUUUAGCCUGGACGGCGUCGUACGUGGCGGCUCCGCCGGCCACACGAGAGCCGUCGGGGUCCUGACGCCGUCCGGACGAGCAGUGGGGGAUAAGGAUUGGGUUUUUUCCCUUUCCUUCUCGCGUCACGCUUCGUGGUGGCGGGGCUUCCGUGGUGGCCCGGGACACGCUUGGGUUGGGUCGAGAGAGGGGGAAUCUGCAGCGGGCGCCAGGGGCCAGGGCGGGGCAGACGUGACCGACGCCGAUGCGACGUGAGUACGGCGGGGCGCUGCAAUUUUUUGGGCAGGGAUUGGCAGCGACGGAAGCGAACGGGAAAGUGUCACGUGGGGUCGGCGCGCGGGUGCCGGGAGACGCGUGGGAGCGCAGCUAGGAUUCACGGAGCGGCGGCGAGGGGGUGUCGUGGACUCUCGUGGCUGCCAGAAGAAAAUCGUAUCCCGAGUUCCUGGCUCCCUGGUCUGGUCUGUGCGAGUUCGUGACAUGACAUGGGUCGCAUGACCAGAGAGAAAGCGGUUGCGGUGGUAUGGGAUGCAUGCCAGCCGCGGUACAAGUGCUCGGCUGGUGGGUGCCCACUUAUGCAUGUCAGCAGAUAAAGAGGGAAUUAAAGACCAACAUGGUUGAAUCAUUCCGUAACAUGGCAUUUGAGAUUUUCUAACGGGUUGAUCCAUGUUAUCGUUGUUGUCAUGACAAUUCGAGAUUUCACGUAACAUUAGUUCUGGAGCAAGUAAUAACAGUGUACUUAGUUAGCCUCCAAAUGUGCAAUUGCUGGAUUUAAUUAGAGUUCGUACGCACAAUGCUCGUAGCUGCCGUACGUACAGUGACAGUGAUUGCAUGUACGCACUGGCAAAUUAAUUGACGAAAGCUGGUGCCUGUUCUUAAUAACUCGGCCCAUCAAACCGAGACUCACUGGACAGAUUAUUUUGUGUCGCACUGUUUCAUGCCGAUGUGACGACCAUAAUUUAUUUUUUUUAUUUUUUGCGAUGAAUGACGACCAUAAUUACCUACGCCACUGCUAGGUGCGAAGAGUACGUCGCUUCCUCCAGUUUGCUUGCAUCAUGCACAUCAAGACACGGUAAAGCCAUCCAUGGAGACGCAGGUACUGCAAUGAUGGGUAACAAAUGUGCAGUACAUGACAUACGAAACCGACACAGCAGCAAGACGCGACCCAUGGGCCCCAGCCGUCAGUGGAGGUGCGUGGGAGGCAAUCCAUGCCCCACCUAUCCAUUGGCAGACCGCUUUACAUAAUUCCAUCGGUACGUUUACUGAAAAGAAAAACUUCAGACACACGAGGAGCGCCAUUAUUCACGAGUGCUAAGAGCCCGGAAAAUUCGUUUACGAUUCCCGUAAACGAUUUUUCAGGACGCCGGGCGCUGCAAGAACAGAUCCCACAUAGCGAUCUUGCGUAGGAUACAAAUUUAAACACACUACUUCGCGCUAAAAACAUCUCGGCGUAGUUCAUCACAUAAGCAUAGCAUAAAUAGCAUAGCCGAGUUCACACGCAUAGCAUAGGGGUUUUUUUAGUACAAAUCAUAAUUAAACAUAACCGAAAUCUAAAAAUGCAUAGCUUAGAUCCACUCAUCGUCGAAGUCCUCGCGAGAGCCGUAGUCGCUGUCGUGGUUGGGGCGGGGCUCAUUGCCGUGAAGAGUGUUGUAGAUCAGCAUGGAGCAGAGGGUGGUCUGCAGCUGGAACUCCUCCAGAAGUGCCAGCACGCGCGCGGCCUCAGUUACAUCUCCUGCUGCGGCGGCCUCCUUCGCGUGGAACCACGCGAGCUCCGCCUCCCUACAGCGCUGCAGCGCCGGAUCGAAGAUGUCGCCGAGAAGACGGAAGUUGGCCCAAGCCGGAGCGCUGACGCUACGGAACUUGGUGUCGCGCUUGCGCGCCGCCUCCCUCUGUCUGGCCGACAUGGGAGGGCGGAGGCCACAGCCGCCUGCCUCGUCAUCAUUUCUACGCUUGCGGGAGACGAAGCCGCCUCGGCAUCCAAAGCCCCCGAGGUCACCGAAACCCCUGCCGUCGCCAUGCCCCGCACCCGUCGUCGCCAUCGCCGCGAAGAUUCACUCAAGCAAACCGCGGCAAAACGCUCUCGGGAGGAGGGGGUCAAUUUGUCGCCGGAGGGGAAGGGUUUGCGGUGGAGAUGGAAAGGGGAAAGGGGACGGAUACUCUAAAUCGGCCGGGCGCCGGCAUAUAUACCGCAUGUGAGGGCGGUUUAUGGGCCUCCCGUAAACUUUUUACUGGCCGAGCCAUUUUUGUGGUAUCUGCUCGGGUCGGAUUUUUGGGUUGUCCCGUAAAUCGGCUGGCAAAAACGUAGUUCACGGGGAUUAAAGGGAACGCUAGAGAUGCUCUUAACUAACUUAACCAACCAUUUAGACACACCAUAGUGGGAGUAAUUUCAGUAGUAACGUCGAGUACAACUCAGCAAAUUUGCUUAUGUGGCAAUGAGUUAAUGAGGAGUGAGGUAGUUUGAGUAACUUAGCUAGGUACUCUAACGUCACAUGUUUCAAUGUAAUAUGAGUCCAUAACCUAAUAAAUGAAGUUUUGCAUGACACCACAACUAUGUGCAACUCCAAUGGAUAGACCCAUUUCGUCCGUCUGCGUCCGUUUGGGUCGGCGCGGACAAAAGUGGAGGCCCAACGCGCCGACCCAAACGCAAAUCGCGUCCGCCUGGCGUCUGCGCCGACCCAUUUCCGGCCCAAAAUUGCGCCUGGAAUGCGUCGGGCGUCUCCUCGGCGCCCGCCGCGUCCCCACAUGUAGGCCACCUAACCGCCAGCGGUCGUCUUAUUUACUCCCUUCGUUUCUUUUUACUCCGCGUAUAAGUUUUGGUCAAAGUCAAACUACAUAAAGUUUGACCAAAUUUAUAUUAAAAAAUAUGAACAUCUACAAUACUUAAACUAUAUAAUAUGAAAAUACAUUUCAUGGUGCAUCUGGAAAUGUUGAUUCAUAUUAUGAAUGUUGAUAUUUUUUAAUAUGAAGUUAGUCAAAUUAUGCAAAAUUUGACUUUGACCAAACCUUAUAUGCAGACUAAAAAGAAACGGAGGGAGUAUGACGACCACCGACAGCGGGCCCACUUGUCAGCUAGUGGAAGCAUCCUUUUUUAAGCACGCGUGCGGCGGGGGCCGGCCUCAUCCACUUCUCCCGUCCACAUCUGGCCCCCCACCACUCCCUUUGCUUCCUCGCCGGCGACAGGAAACCCUAGCACGCCAUGGGCCUCUUCGGCAGCAGCAAUGGCAAGGGCAAGGGCACCAUAUAUAGCCGAGGGAGGGGAGUCGUCGGCGCACCGCCCCGUGACGCCGCCCAUGAGAGGAAUCAAUGGAAAAGCUGACCGGCAGCAGCCUUGCCAUUGAUUCCCCGCGGGAAACCGAGAUGUCGGGAAGACGAGGGGGGCGGUGUCGCUGACGCGGCUGCCAUGCGGCGCUUUCGCGUCAAAAACGAUUCGCUCGGCGUCCCCCAGCGCGCCGGGUUCGGGUUGGGUCCGCCGGCGCCAAUUUCGGCCCGAGCCGGCGAAAAAUGGGCCCCUGAAGGCGCGACUGGGCCGAUUUUUUGGCACCGGCGGCCAAAAAGUCGCCUGAGGAGCCUUGAUGGGAGCGCGGCUGGAGNNNNNNNNNNNNNNNNNNNNNNNNNNNNNNNNNNNNNNNNNNNNNNNNNNNNNNNNNNNNNNNNNNNNNNNNNNNNNNNNNNNNNNNNNNNNNNNNNNNNNNNNNNNNNNNNNNNNNNNNNNNNNNNNNNNNNNNNNNNNNNNNNNNNNNNNNNNNNNNNNNNNNNNNNNNNNNNNNNNNNNNNNNNNNNNNNNNNNNNNNNNNNNNNNNNNNNNNNNNNNNNNNNNNNNNNNNNNNNNNNNNNNNNNNNNNNNNNNNNNNNNNNNNNNNNNNNNNNNNNNNNNNNNNNNNNNNNNNNNNNNNNNNNNNNNNNNNNNNNNNNNNNNNNNNNNNGAUAAAGUGCGUGGGCCGUAUGCAUGCACGGUGAGACCAGCUCUCCACGGUGGGCCAGGAUGGAUGGAUAUCGGCAACGUGCGUCACGCGAUCCAGACGGGUGGACCUGAAAAUAGCAGUACGAAGCAGCAAGAAAGGCAAUAUAACGUCGUGCUCGUACCCAUGACCGGGUUCUUUGGUAUGAAGGUCGUAUACGUAGGCUUGCUAUAUAAAAGAAGUUGUAGCACUCGAUCCAUAAAUUCUGCAAGAAUAUUUUGGGUGCAAAAUACGCACUACCGUUCGAAUUAUGUCUGGGUUGCAGAAAUUCUACAUGAAUCAGACUCAUUUAUCGUCUCGUAUAAAACUUGGAGAUGAAAUUCAUGUGGUGUUUGAUACUACUUGGGUUCCCUUGAUAUUUAAUAUGUGGCUCCAAGUGAGAGAAAAGGACCGGCAUCACACAAAAGAGAGAAAGAAGAGAAAAUGACCUUCUUCAUGGUAAGAGAAGCGAGUCCGGUCCAGAUAUACUCCCUCCGUUUCUAAAUACUUGUCUUUUUAAAGAUUUCAACAAGUGACUACAUACGGUGCAAAAUGAGUGAAUCUACACUUUAAAAUAUGUCUACAUACAUCCGUACGUUGAGUCCAUUUAAAAUAUCUAGAAAGACAAGUAUUUGGGAACGGAGGGAGUAUAUUGGUUGUGUUUGUAGAAAGGAUUUGCUUUUCUCCCACUCUCCCCGUUUCCUCCCCCAUCUCUGUUCACAAUGUCUUCUUCAAGAUUGGUAGUAUAUUCUAUUGAUUGAUUGAUUGAUGAAACGCUAUGUGACUUGGCGGAAGUAGAAGCCUUCCAUAAGCUAGAGUAGAUCGUCAAACUGUAGAUUUCUUCUCAUGCAUGCUCUAUUAAUUUAGAUGUAAAUAAAUAAAACAAAGACAAGGAAAAUCGUAGAAGAAACAAAGAGAGAGAAAAUACCAGAACCAUAUAACUGCACACACGCACCUGCCUGCACGUGAAGGCCGGACGGCUGAGCCAUGGGAUUUUGGCAGAAGAAGGGUGAAACGCCAAAGAUGCCAAACGUUGCUCGAAAGGGACCUCGUCUUUCACUUUUGUUACCACCACGCAAUGAUACCAAUCGUUGUUGGGACGCCAUGUCCUUUGCUUUUGUUUCGUCCUUGAAAGCUCAUCUAGGAAUCGCCCUGAAGUACAGUCUUGCUUUGGAAAUGUCCCUCCUUUAGUUUCCUUUGCCGCUUCACCUCUAGGAUUUGGCGGGGGUUGGGCCGGGGUGGGUGCAGUGCACGCCUAAUAACUUUAGGGUUUAUGGCUUCUGGUGCCUGCUAAAAACAACUUCCUAAGCCGUCGCCCAUUUCUUAAGCAACGUUUCCAGAGCCCAAAAAUGAUUCUACAAUGUAAUGUAGCACACAGCAUCUGAGGAAAUCUACACAGACUAGAGAUGACGCGUUCCUUUUUCUCUCGGCUUGAAAUCAGGCCGCCAGCCAGAUGGGGUUACCCGUCCGUCGGUGGUUCCGUUGGUGAGGAUCCGGUGGAUCAUGGGCGGCCGCUGGAAACGUGGGUCUACGAUCUUGCUUGACGUGUAAGGUUGGCAAUGUACGGAGCCAACGGAAAGGAGUAGCAGCCCAUAGUCCAAACGGAAUGCAUGCAUGCGCCGGGUUUGCAGCUUGCAACGUGCAGCUGCACUUCAGAUCCUUCCUCUCCUCCCCUCGCCUUUCCUUCUUCCUCUCUAAAACCAUCCUUCUCUUUCCCAAUCUGGGAGACGACCUAUAAAAUUAAGCUGGCAUUGUGGCCUUUACUACUGGUAUUCUUUUUGUAAAGAAAUAUAAGAGCGUUUAAAUCACUAAUAGGGAGGGAGUACUAUAUGUGUGUCGUAAACAUCUUUUCUCACUGCCCACCUAGACCUAGUUAUUGUGAAUGAUCUAAUACGGAGCUUUAGACCAUUCCCAAGGAUUUAACCCCUCAAAUCAUCCCAUAUUGAGUAAGAGGGUGCUUGGAUACAAGGGACUAUUUUUAGUCUGACUAAAAAUAGUCUCUUUUAGAGGCUAAAGUUCCAAGCACCCCUGACUAAAGAGAGGCUAGGACUAGUCUUGAGGCUAAAAAUCUUUUAGUCAUGGAAAACCUACUAAAAUAUGUAUUAGCUCUCUCUCUCCUCAUUUAAUUCCUCUCCUUAGUUCUGGAUUGGAGGGUUUGGAGGAUAAUAAAUGCUCAAUAACUAGAUUUUAGUCUCUUUAGUACUUGGAUCCAAGCAUGGGUGAGACUAGCAAGUUUUAGUCCCACUAUUUUUAGUCAUGGGACUAAAACGUAUCCAAGCAUGCUCUAAGAAAAGGACUUGAGCAUAUGAUUUGACUAACUGUGGUCCACGGGGACAGUAUCAUCCGCCGUUUGCUGAGUGCGGGGAGGACCGCGUACUUCAUGAUGGUACAUUUAUUUUCAAAACCAAAAAAGAAAAAUCAACACUACCAGCGAGCGGUACAAUAUAGGAGUAGUGCUAUUUUACUUGGAUGGAGCAGCGGUACGUGUUAGCUCAACAAUACGGGAAUAUUAGAUACAACAUGCGUAGCACCACCCAGCUACUCCCUCCGUUCCAAAUUACUUGUCUUCGAUUUGUCUAAAUACGGAUGUAUCUAGCACUAAAAUGAGUCUAGAUACAUCCGUAUCUAGACAAAUCUAAGACAAGUAAUUCAGAACGGAGGGAGUACGUAGGAUGACGAACCGCUAACAAUAUAAUCCAUCCAGACCUAGGACUAGGAGUAUAGUAGUAGUAUAGUAUAUUCCUCUGGGCUGUGUCCCGCACAUCGUUGGCACCAGAGCCCCAAGGAGGCAAAGGAGGAGGACUGCACUGCGCUGCAAGUUGCGGCCGUCUGGUUUUCAGCGAAACAGAAAUAGGGCGGGAGCGAAGCGGGGCGUUCCGAAAAGAGGUUCGCUCGCAUGCAGAUGCAGAGCAGGGGCGCUCCCAAUGGGGAAUGUGCGCCGGCUCUGCCUACUGUAUGUGUGCACAAAUAUUGCCUCGCACGCAGUUGGGUGGUUGGUUAUUACGGGCGAGUUGGCAUCUAUCUAUACUGGGAUGGGAUGCAGAGGCCGCGCCGGCCGGAAAGCACCGGGCCUAAAAUGCCCCGGUCGCUGUCCCGUGGCCGUGGCGUACAGAUCCAUCCUCCUCCACCACCCCUUCCCAUCUUUAUUUGGGGCCAUUAACCAGUCGCUUCAAAAGUCUAAGCGCCCAACAAAACAUGUACUAGUAGUAUUCAAAGUGUUUACAGUUCCAGGACCACUCCCACUAGCAUCAAAGUGGACCUUUGAACCUGCUCUCCGAUGCCUAGUGUGAUCUGUGAUGCAGCUCCGCUUGGUGGAUAUACCACAUGAACAGAUGGACAGAGGGGAGCAAAGAAGAACUCACUAGCUCCCUAGUGCAAUCACAUGCCGGAUGCAAUUGCCAGUGCAGAUGUAGUAGUAACAAAGAAAAAAAAUGCAGGACAAAAUGUCACAUGCAACUUACGAUAAUUCACAUGCCUGGUGCAGCUGCCAGUGGUGAUGAACAAUAUGUUUGAUCUAACCGCAAUCAUAGGAAGCUUCAGAAUGUAGGAAAGGGCACUGUCACCGCUCAAAGUCUCUUCCGUACUGAUGAGUAGUAUCAUUUUAAAAAUAUAAUCAAGCAGCCUGAAUUUGACGCCCCGGCUGUUAGAUGGUCAGAAUCAGCUGGUGGUUGGCUGCAACCUUCAUCUCCAAAAACUAAAUAAUGGCACAACACUUCGGUUAUUUCGUCCCCCUUAGGACACAGUAACUUUCAAAUCGAUCAACUCCAACAUCACAUUCCACAAAUUCAGAACAGUACCAUACUAACUGAAUGUUACUGUACAAUGAUCAACAGUAACAUGCGCUGCGUGAUUAGUUUAUGGGAGGUGAGAGAGCAGCCUCACUGACUACAAGUCCACAAGAUCUGUCCGAUGGUGCUACAAAAGUAUUUUCUUAACAAAUUUGCUAAUCAUGAAGGGAAUCCUCCCAUCUAAUCAGGCCCCAUCCUCGGGGGAGGGAGAGGAAUAAUGCGGCGUGCAUCACAUUGCUUGUCUGCCUUGGGGAGCAGUAGCUGCCGCUCUCACCAGCUUCCCAACCAAGACAAGAUGGAAAUGGUGGUGCCUAUUUGAUUAAUUCUGUUGCUACUACACUAUCAAUUAUACUUUUGUCUAGCCUUCAUAUAAAUAUGCAGUGGAAAUGUGCCAUUGGAUCAUUGGAGUAGGAUGGUUCAAGCAAGGGUUUAACAAGUGAAGAUGGCUCACUCACAUGGGAGGUGUGUGCGCUUCAGUGGCACAUCACAUGCUUACCGAAAGGGGUUUCCUAGUAGCUGCCUGGAGCAGUGGAGGAUCUUGCCCUUGUGGGUGCAUAAUCUACUCCAAUCUCAGCCUUUUCAGUUUAAUAUUAAGAUGGUUUUUUAGGAUCAUGCGUUUUUGUUGUCAUCAUUAGCGUCGGUGCGCGAGAGCGAACACUGCACUAUCAGAAAGCCACUCCUGCACAAAACCUCGACAGAUUAGGUGGGUUGUCUUGUUAAUAUCAGGAUCUACCAAAAUUAGCUAUGAUUAGGGUUUUUACCUAUGAAAGCGGAACACUUUUAGUUGACCUUUUUUUUAUCCACGGCACAUUGGAGGCAAAAUAGCUAGUAAGUUGACAUUUUCGGUGAGUACAGGGUUACCGUCAGCCUAAGACUGACAUAAUUAUUGUUAAACAUUCACUAAUGGCCUUUCGACGUGAUCUAUAGAGCUGCCUAGUUAUAGCUAUAGCUAGUUUCCUACCUAAGAUUAUCCACCAAGGUACGCCGUUGAGGGAUUAACAAAGUGAGCAACCUAGCUGCCUUGCACCAACUAGCAUGGAUAUACUCCAAAUUCCAUGCAGCCUUUUCACAGAUCCUACAGCUCGAGAUAUACUAAUAUCCACUUGGUGAAUAACUAAUUUUGUUCUUUAAAGCAAAGACAAGAGAUUACAAAAUUACCAGACUGGUUCCUUUCCAUAUUGAUUAGAAGAAAAGCAAGGCGUCAUGUGAAGAGAGCCUCAAGUCACAUGCUACCCUACCCCCAUGCUACUUUACGAGAACAGGUUGUUGAUUCCGGGAGGAACAGGUCAGGUUUAGUUUGCUUCUCCUCAGCCCAUAGGCCAUAACACAAAGGAUCAAUAUUUCUUUUCCAUCCCUGGUUACCUUUUUAACUCUUUCUUUUUUGCUGGGCAAAUAUGGCCAGGUUGGGAAAUCACAUGGAUCGAUACGCUUGAGGCAGAGCUGUAAUCAGCUCACAUGGGGGAAAUUGUUUCCAAUCUACUCCUCUUUGGAUGUUGUUGGGUGUUCCUUUUCAUGCUACUAGAACAAGUUUGAGCACCAAGAUUAGUCUAGAUUAAAUUUACAAUGACAGACUGGUAACUUUUCUGCGAAAAUUACUCGGCAUCUUUCUGAAAUCUGAAUGUACAGUUGGAGAGUAGUUGGCCGACCACACAUAUCCUUUUCUUGGUUUAUUUACAGAAAGAGAUGUAGGAAGGGAGGGUAUAUACUUUUCUUGGGUCACAUCCAAUCCAUCUGUUUCGUAGGGAAAAAAGAGAUAAGAAGGCGACCGAAUUUACAGCUAAAUUAACAUGCAGUUACUGUUGGGUUGGGUGCAUUGUACAGACAGCUAGUGCAAGUGCAAGUGGGUGUGUGGGGUUCUACUUGUAGGAACCAGCUGCUAAAUGCUAGUUAAGCGGCUGCUUUUGCAUCUGGAUUAAGCGUGGGCAUGCUCGACACGAGACUAACAGCCUGUGUAUACAUGCAUAGAUUCCAUUUUGCAGGCCCUACACGACACUCAACGGUAUACUAUGAUCAGUAAUAGAUAAAGAACAAAUGCUGCUCAUGGCCUGUUUCUUACACCGGCUGGCAUGAAAUGAAGGCAGGAGGUGUCUGUCCUCCACACGCUGCAAAUAUGCUUGCCGAGAUCAUGUCAUGUCAUGUGUGGGUUCCAAGCAGUAGCACUCCAUGACUGCACUGGAGUGAACUAAUUCAUGCAAGUGUUGUACUGUAGGACUGAAUUAGAUGACUGGAAUUGGAUCUACUGGCUAGCUAGACAGUAGACACCAAAUGAAUUCUAGCAGUAGGAGGAGUAUAUGAGCAUCUAUCUACAUUUGCGUGGAUGUUUUCUUUCCCCCAACGGAGAGAGGACACAGACGCAUCAUCUCCUGAUCCGUGCAUGAUCCAUCCAAGUUGCCCUGGAGCCAACCAAUAAUUCGUCGCGUCCAAGUACACAUGGAGGCAUGUGGCAUUCAAAACAUUUUAAAAGCCGGACGGUGGCGCUGGUCCCCGGUGCAUUUCUGUCCGGGCCAAACCGAUAGGAGUAGUAGAUAGAGAGAGGGACUCGUACCGGACCAGCGGGUCACACGCCACUGCACACACGCCAAGAAACCUUCUUCGCCUCAUCUGUGAUUGAUUCUGUGGUGAAAAAACGCCAGGAAUACUAUUAUGAUAUCAAAUUGAUAUAUUAUGAAAAUACAUUUUAAAACAGAUCUAGUGAUACUAAUUUAGUGUCAUAAAUGCUGCUAUUUUUUCCAUAAAAUUGGUCAAAGUUUUAAAACUUUGACUUAAGACAAAAGCUAGAAGUACACUUAUUCGCGGACGGAGGGAGUAUAUCGGUACGUAUCAUGAUUGGAGAGGGCUGACCCAGCCAGAGUUAUUCGCCUCGGAUCAUGUGUUGGUUGCGCUUGAUCGAUCGCUCGCUCGCUCGUGUGCGGCGCUGUCGCGUGUGCAUUUCCAGUUCAGGGGCUUGGGCCAACCCAACAGCUUGUAACUGCGUGCUAGUACCAAACAUGCAUGCAUGCCUGCUUGUGUGUUUAUUGUAACGAACACGGUGUUUCCACGCUCUGUUCGUACUGCCUCCGGCCUUCCUUUCGUUUCCCUUUUUAUUUAUGUCCGUGGUGAUUCAUUCAUGUGACGGCGAUUUGUUUAGUCUGCGAGAGAAAGAAAAAUGUGGAGCGUAUCGAUCAGAGGGGAAAGAGUGAGGCGUCACAGACCCCUACCAGAAGGGGAUCCACAUCCACAGGUUGGGGGGACUGAAGUGGUUUGGGUUUGGGUUGGGAGAUGGACAGACGGAUGGUGGCCGUGCAGCUACAGCAGAGAGGGACAUCCUGCUCCGGCUCCGGCUCCGCGCUUGUUGGAUCGGAUCGGAUUGGAUGGGAUGGGAUCGGAACCGGAUGGAGAGCCCGGCAUAGGCCCCAUUAAUCAUCCCUGAAAAAGCCUGUAAAUGGCGGCGGUUGUGUGAUUUUCAUGGGUGCCCGUCCGGCGUCGCUUGUCCGUGCAUGCAUGCGCGCGUGCGUGCCGCACAGUCCAGAUAGCAGAGGCGCGGAAGUGAUCUCAACUGGACAGGUGCACCGCGGGGCGCCACUGGAGCUUGAUCCCAUCGCAUGCGGAACGCGACAAGUGGCGGCCGCUCCCCAUUCGCUCGCUACGUACUCGUCACGUGACCUUUAUCUUCCUGUUUCCUCUCUCUCUCUCUCUCUCUCUCUCUCUCUCUCUUUCUUUCUUUCUUUCGUUCUUUAUUUUCACAAGAGGCUUUCAGCCCCGUGAAACGGAAUUUCAAUCUGUCCACACCAAUGAGAACUACCCAACUUUCAGCCUCACCUCCCUCUCCAACUCCCACUAUCAACAUCCAAAAUGAUCAUGCAAGCUGCUUCUUGGUUCUGAAUCUGCAACUAGUUUCUCGCCUUAGAGUAGGAAGUACGCGUGGAAACCAAACAGAUCCUGAUGUAACUGCAUUUAGGAGGUGGUUCUAGCGGAGCAGGAGCACAAAUCCAUUCAGUAUGUUCAUCUACAUGGCGGCCUUGAGCUUUUCCAUUAUGGUAAAGCACGCACUAAAGACUGCCCGGGCCGGGGCUUGGCUGAACAGAACUGGACCAAACGCAUCAGUUUUUCUUUUUUUUAAAUAAAUCAUUAGCUUUAUUAAUUGCAAAUAACAGUUACAUCGUCCAUAAGAAGAGGUACAAUUUCAUCCAUGGGUUCCUCAAAAUAUUCAUUUGUUACGGAAAUUUUCGCUAAUCUAGCUAGUUCAUGAGCCACCCUAUUUGCCUCUCUAUUACAAUGCUCAAACCUAGUAAGAGAAAAAUCACAAGCCAAAAAAUAGCAAUCAUCAAAAACCGCCGCCGCCGCUCCCGCUGAUCGUCCUCCAUUCUUCAUUGUGUUGAUGACUUCAAUAUUGUCUGAGUUGACAUCUAGGCGAUUGCAUCCCGCCCUCUAUGCAAGCAAUAAUCCAAACCUUAGGGCCAAAACUUCCGCUGUCAGAACAUCUGCACACCAGUCAAACUUUCAGUUUCCGCCGGCAAUAAAUCUUCCUUUAUCAUCUCUGAGAACAGCCCCAGCUGUACCACUAAGCCGAUCAUGACCAAACGCAUCGGUUAUCUACAAGACGCCAAGGCAAGCAGCAGGGCCACGGAAACAUCGCAUUCAUCACCGUGCGACCGCCAUUAGUGCCGCCCAUCCAACACAGUAACCCACAACUGCUUGUCAUGAUCCAAUCAACAACUUUUUUGAGAGAGAGCAAGUUACAGUCCACACCUCUGCCUACCUCUCAGAUCAAGUACGCACACGCUUCCGAAGAUACCGCGGGCCAAUGGCUGCUGCUUCGGUCACUUAUAUUUGAUGAAAAAUUGCAAGGGGCCGUGUGUGGAUUUUUGGACUGAAGUGUUCAAUACAAUGCAGGGACCAAAUAGUCCCCAGUUGCGACGCGAUAAUAAUCUUCCUAAUUUCCCACUGAAAUUGAUCUUUAAAUAAAUUUCACCAGCUUCUACUAGACUUACGACAACAGAAUAUGGACUACAUCAAAUACACAAUCACAUCCUGAACUGUAUCACAGCAUGAAGAGAAAAAAGUGGAAAGUCAUAUAAUACUACAAGGCACGAAAACCACCGGUAUGGAUCAGCACAAGGCCUGAAAGCGUUUUAGAUGAGAAAAUAAAUAUAUGGGUGGCUUCAGACCCUUUCAAAUCAUUGGGAAGG